RNAcentral lists this long non-coding RNA (53690 nucleotides) under Vitis vinifera (wine grape). RNAcentral describes it as "long non-coding RNA (VVIN_LNC002209)". The record is from RNAcentral. Lineage: Eukaryota; Viridiplantae; Streptophyta; Magnoliopsida; Vitales; Vitaceae.
UUAUGAAAUAUUCUUUUCAAUGAUCUAGGAAAAUGAGAUGAUGAUGAAAAUUGACAAUGAAAGUUAAACUAAGGUACAUCCAUAGGGUCUAUAAAAUUGCAAUAAAAUAAAUGAAUCUAACAUUAUUAAUCUAAAUAAAUGCAAAAAUACCGAAAUCCAUUAAGCUUGAAGUAUCAAAAGGCUUGCCAAAAUCCUCAUGUUGCAUUUGCAGGGUUAUGCAAUCCACAACAUAGAUAAGAUGACAAGCACUAGAAAUGUUGUUUCUUACUAUCCUUAACAGGAAACCGGGAGAGAGAGUAUUCAAAGGGAGAGUAAAACUUUACACAAUUUGAAAUAUUUUUCAUCCAAGACCCUAUUCUUAUAGGUAACUUUGUUUUAGUUUAUGUCAAACCCCACCAACUCCUUUGCCACCAAAGCCAAGCCUCAAGGACAUGUUUUAUCCAAAACCUAAAAGGAUUUCUUCGGCUCUGAGCCUCUGCUUCUGAGUACAGUUAAUAAUCCAUAAAUCAUCAGAAUUCAACUCAACUAAAAAUGAAAAGCCUUACAUUAUGACUCAAAAAUAUGGGCUAGAGAUUAUAUUCAAGAUCAUUACAACCUUCUGUUCAUAGUAGGUUUUUUGACCUUUAGUUUUAUUGUUAUAAUUGUCCAGACAGCAUAAUCAUACUUUUUCCAUUUUGAAUAUCUUCUAGCAUAAAUCUAAGGAUCUGGAGAGAGAGAAAACUUUAUCUUUUGUAGCCCGUCCUCACAUCUUCUCUCUCCUCCAGUUUCUUACUAAAACUAAUCACUUAUAAAUCCAACUUGCGAUCUGUAAGAACCAUUAAUCAGAUAUCAAAAACAUUGAGCCAAAACAAGUUGAUAUGGUUGCUGAAGUCAGCAUCCAUGUAACUGAUGUAAGCUACUGCAGUCCUAAUUCCCCAAACCGAUCCCCCAAAAACCACUGGAUUCGUCUUCCUGCAUGGAUCUCACUGAUUCAAGUUCUUCUAGUCAGGUUCUUCUUUGGCUAGGAGUAAUGGAGUCACUCUAAGCAAUCUCUUGAUUCAGCCCUUCCAGAGGUUCUUCUGGAUCCAAUCAACACAGAGAGAUGUUUGCCCAAAUCCCAUCAUUCCUUAUGUUUUCUUUUUGGAGGAGGAAGAUGGUUUUAUGGAUCUUUUGCUGAUUAAAGACAUUGGUUUUAAUGUUUUUUCUUUUUUUUUUCCUUUUCUUUUUUCUUUUUUUUUUUUUGGUGUGGAAGCUUGGUUUCUUGAUGCCUUACUAGUUAUUUGGUAGUGCGUGCUUUUAUCAUGAUUGUAUUUUGGGUGUUUGUGAGAAGUUAGCCAAACAUUUGCGGAGAAAGUACUGUCUAGAAAAUCCAUUUAUUAGUUCCUCUCCAACUCAAAAAGACUAUAAAUGCAAUCAGCCUGCUCCUAACUGAAAGUAGCAUCUAUGGGUGUAUAUUUCUUUGAGUCAGUUUAUAUCUUUCCUUUUGGAAGGCGGCUUUUUACAGGAAUUAUGUUGUUAGCUAACAACAUCAACAGUCCACAACAAUGUUCUUGGGCAAGGCAAUAUGAAGUCAGGGUAUAAGUAGAGUCAAGCAGAUUAUGCCCUGUCUGUGAGUGCUUUGCAUGGAAGAUUACUACUCUUAUCAUGAAUGUGGAUGACAUUGUUAUGUAGAGAAUGAUGAUGUUGAAAUGGGAAAUUGACCAAGAAGUUUGAGAUUAAGGAUAUGGGAAGUUUUUUAUACUUACUCAAGAAGGUUAAAGGGUCUAAGAAAGACAUAUUUGUCUUGUGCACAAAUUUUCUAUUAGACACUUAAAAAGUGGGCACGAAUAUGCUAAGAUGCAUGCCUUUCAAUAACAGGAUCAUUUACAAUUACCAUUUGUAUGAAGGCAUAGAGAUAACCUCUUGAUAAUUCAAGACAAUGCUAGAGGCUCAUGGAAAAGGGUUAAGUUGUGUGAAGUCUAAUUUUUAUUUAAAGGGUAUUUUAGUAAUUCUAGACAUGUAUUUGUUUGCCCUAACUUUCUCAUUAUAUAAGGGAUUAUUAGGAUGACCCUUUUUAGGGUAGGGGUGUGUGAUAAUAGAGGAGUGGUACUAGGCCUAAGAUCAUCUUGUAUUUGGCUUUCUGAUCAUAGUGGAAAUUUUGCAACAGCAAAAUAGAUGUAGCUCUCACAUUGAGUGAACCACUAUAAAUCUUGUGUAUUUUCUGUUUUUAUGUGUUAUUGGUCUCGUAAAUAGGGAUUUUACCUUAAUAAAAAGUUGAUCUAUCUCGCUAUGAUUAGGAAAUUUAUGUGUAACAAAAGAGGUGCAUAUAUUGAGGUAUCGUAUAGAAGUUCACGAUAUCUGAAUUCAACAGCCUGUAAACUUCUCUCCUGCCUUUGUGUCCUUGAGUUUUAAAAAAAGGGUCGCUAAUAUCUAUUAAAAAAGGCCUACGAUGUAGGAUAAUCCUAAAGUGGUUACUUCAAUCAAAUAAGGGCGAGCUAGAGUUUCACCUUUUUUAGAAUUUAAGGAAGGGAAUGAGGGAACUAAGCAACAACAAAGAAAAAAGAAAAUUAAGAAGAAGAAAUAGAUUUUCAAAAAUUAAAACAGAAAAUAAAAACCUUAAAAUUUCACCAAAGCCUUUUAAAAGCCUCACCUAGAGAAAAAAAAGAAUGAAUAAACCUUAAAGUUCUACAAACACCUUUUAGGAGCCUCAUUCAAAAGAGAAGAUAAUAGAGUUACAUAAGUAAAUCUUGCAAAGUAUGCAUUAUCAUCAAUCUAUUCUAUAAGCCUCAAAAUAUAGAAAAAAACUCAUUGUAAGAAAAUUCCAUCAAAGAAAACUUUCUAAAUCUAAAUAAGACUCAUAUAACCAACUACCAGAAACUUUGACUCCAAAAAACCCAAAUGAACAGAGUUCUACCCUUGACUUAGCCAAUUUAGGAUUUCUUUGUUCCCUUUCCCUCUUGUGAGGAAACCUUGAAAGGUUUUUUUUUUUUUUUUGAUACGUAAAGGAUAAAAUUGUAUUAAAAACCCGCCAAAGCAGCGGCUUAAAGAUUACAAAGAAAAAAACACCCCCCACUCCCUAGCUGGAUGCCAAGGACGUAGGUGCAGCCUGAACCCCACCCUCAACGGGUUCCCACCCAAUCAAUAAAAUCAACUAAAAUCAAAGUACCAUAUUUUAUAAACAGUUUCAUCUCCGACCAAAGGAAAUAUACAAAAGAAUUCUUAAGUCUUUGGAUUGACAGCUCUUCUUCCUCAAAGGCAACUUUGUUCCUUGUCUUCCAAACCGUCCAAAAAAGACACAAAGGGCUUGCUCUCCAAACUCCCUUCCUUUUUUUCCCACAAAAGACCCAUCCCAUCCCAGAAGCGUCGCCUUAACAGUGGCUGGCAGCACCCACUGCACCCCAAAAAGAGAGCAAAGCAACGCCCAAAGAGUCCUUGCCAUGGCGCAGUGGAGAAGAAUGUGAUCUAUUGAUUCUUCGUGCCUUUGACAAAGGUAACAUCUGUUCGCUAAAGGCCAUCCUCUCUUUUGAAGUUGAUCCAAGGUAAGACCCUUUUCCCACGUUGCUUCCCACCCAAAAAAACUCACUCUAGGCUGCACAUAAACUUUCCAAAUGGCCGACGAAGGAAACCUUGAAAGGUUCAUCCCCAUCAAUCUCUCAUUUUGUAAGUAAGUUCAUUUAACAGUAGAAUCAUAAACAGACGCAAAUUAGGCAGAUGCAGUAACUGAUUGCAGAUCUUCUUUAGUUAUUGAAUUUUUGUUGGAGGUCACCUAAUACAUCACCAAAGUAAGAAAGUCCUCUUUGUUCACUGUAGUGCAAAGGCAAAGUUUAGAGCAAUGAGAGAUGGAGCAAGUGAUAUGUUGUGUAUGGGAAGUUUAUUAGGGGGAUAUGCAUCUGAUGUUUUAAAAGGCUAGAGGUGGCCUUGACAUGUUUUGCCCAUAAAAAGUGAGGCAUAAGCCUCGAGCAAUGAGGUGUAAGUCUCAACUUAAACAAUAAAUAAAUAUAAAUAAUCUAAAAAGGAUAAAAAUACUAAUAAAAUGACAUAAAAAUUAUAAUAAUAAGAAAACAACUAAACCCAUAACAAGAAAAUUAACCACUUUCUCUUUCCAAUAUUUUCUAAUUUAGUCCCUUUCUGUCUCCCACAGUCCAACUCUGUCUAAUGGCUCCAUCAAAUAGCCUUCAGCACCAUUAUCACUAUCACUAGUAGUAGGAUCCUCCAAAGAAUCAGUUCUAUCAUUCUCCACAUCAAUGUCAAUCCAAGCAAGCUGCAGCAAAGUCCAACAGCUCCUCUUCUCCAACAGCACCUCUGUUUCUUCUUAAUUAUUAUUUUUUUCCCCAUCUUCUUCUUCUUCUUUUCAAUUAUUUUCUUUUUCCUUCUUCAACGGGUUGAAUGAAAGAUAGCUCAUCAGUUAUUUUUCAAAGGGUUUAACCAAGACCCAAGACAGACAUUUCAAAGUACAAAACACACUAAAACAUUGCAUAUUUGAGGAAGCACACUUCAAUAAGGUCGUAUCAAUGAUAGUAGAGCAAUCAAAUAAGAUAAAGAUAUGUUAGAGAAUCGUAUUAGGGAUGAUGAUGGUAGUUUUGAAGACUAUUUGACAAUGUUCUAAAAACCGGACCAGUCAUUGAACCGAAAAAGUUCCCAGUUCACGGUUUACUAGUCGGACCGGUGGUUAAACCGAAAUCGAAUUGAUGAUAUCACAAAUGCAUAAUUUAUAUUUUAUUAAAAUUAAAAAUAAUUUUAAAAAAUUAAUAUGUAUAUAUAUAUAUAUAUAAAAAUCAAUGAUAUUUAUUUUUUUCAUCUUUUAUAUAAACAUAGUAAUAAUUUAAAUUUUAUUAAAUAAAAUAUGCAUAAUAUUUAAAUAUGAAAAUGUAGGUUGAAUAUUGAAGAAAAUAUAUAUAUAUAUAUAUAGAUAGAUAGAUAGAUAGAUAGAUAGAUAUUAUUUUAUGUUUAAAAGAGAUUAGAUUAUUUUACUUGUAUUGAAUUUCUGAAAUAACAUACAUAUUGUAUUCUUUAGUUUCACAAUUUUAACAUCAUUAGAUAAGUAGCAGAAUGGUAGUUCUAUAUUACCUUGAACCUUUAGUCCUAAGGUUCAAGUCCUCCUGUUGCACACUUUAAAUCCAUUUUUGCAACAAAAGAAAACCGGAACCAGACGAAGCAUGCACCAGACCGGAUCAAGGUCCGGUUGACGGUCUGACCAAUUCAACCGGUCGGUCCUGUCCAGUCCAGUCCGGUUUUAAAAACGCUACUAUUUGAUGGUGCAAUGAAAAAGGGUGGGAUUUUGGAAAAGAGAAAGAGGAUCCAACUUAGAAAUAUAAAAAAUUACAACAAUUAACUUUAUUAUUAUGAAUUUUGUAGCUUUCUUAUUAUUCUAUUCUUAAUUUACAUUAGAAUGUUAUCAUUUUUGACAUUUUUCUUCUCUAUUGUUAUUACUGUUAUCUCUUCUUUUUAUGUUUAAGUUGAUGCUUAUGUCUUGUUUUAGCUCAAGGCUUACAUCUCACCUCAAGACCACUUUAGCCUUUUAAAACAUUGCCUUAAGCCUAUGACUCAAAGCUACAACUCAGUGCCUCCCCUUGAGGCGGGCCUCAAGGUGUGUACCUCAAAUACCUUUUAGAAAACACUCUGCACAUCCUGAAUAUAAUUCCUACGAGGUUUUGUUAUGAUAAUAAAGUUGCCAUCAAUAUUGCAAAUAACCCUGCUCAGCAUAACAAAACUAAACAUAUUGAGUUUAAUAGGCACUUCAUAAUGAAGUUAAAUUCUGGCUUGGACCUACGAUCAACUUGCUGAUGUUUUGACAAAGGAGUAAAAGGGCUAAUUUUCAUAUUAUUCAUGGCAACCAGGGUAUUCAUGACAUACACACCAGUUUAAAGGGGAAUGCCACCACCAUCAUUUUCUUUUACCAGUGGUUUUUUUGUUCUUUACUGUGUAGACAGAUUCCUUUCGAUAUAAACAUAUAGAACUGGAGAUAGAACCCUAAGCUUCUCUCUUCUUUCUAUGUUAUGUACAUGAUGCAAUCCAUCUGAACAUCCAUAGGAACUGUAAAACGAGAGACAAUUGCCUAUGGGAAGGCUUGUUAUCAAAACAAAAAUAAUCAUUAGAUGAUAAUCAUCUAAUAAAUUAUCACUACUAAAAACUGAAUGUAGUGUGCAUAGGAAGAAUCAAUAUCGAGUUGAUCAUGCUUAUCCAAUCAAUACUCCAAAUGACUAGUGAUGAUGUUACAGUUAACAAUAGCGAGUAAGUGAGAAUAUGAUUAUGACACAGUAUCCGCCCCAUUCAUCAAGUUCAGACCAUGACCAAGCAAAGAGUUCUAGGUGCAUCUGAAAGUUCGUGUCUAGCCAUGCUUUGGAUGUAAUGUCAAAUGUCAAGACCAGUGUGUAUUAUUCUUGCUGGUGUCUCAUUAUAAGAAAUUAUGGUCUGUGGUUGAGUGGUUCUGAUGAGCUGGCAACAAAAUUACAUGAUAAAAUAUGCCCAGGCAAUGGAAUAGAAAAGUUAAAGAGCUGGAAGAGAGCCUGAGCAAUUUUGUUAAUUUCAAGCAGAACUUGAUAAAACUAAAGUUGGGUUUUGUCAAUUAAACUCAUUUCACAUGUUGCUAAUGUAAAAAUCUCUAUCCCCUUUGAAUUCACAAACUAUUCUAAAUCCAUUCCUAAGCAUAAAUAAUUACUCAUUUGAAUCUUCCAUGCGUCUUGUAUGCUGACAACAGUCAAAAUAAAAUGUUGGAAGACUUGUGACUGAAUAUGGGCCUAAUCACACAUAUUUCUUUCUAUAAUUACUCUUGUAUGGUUAUUUGUGUUGAAAGUUUGGAAUUUACGACUUUUCUCCUUUUAAGACUCUUCUUGUACAACUGUAAAUUAGUUGGGAUUUUUCUCCUUUUAGGACUCCUCUUGUUUAGCUGUAAAUUAGUUGGGAUUUUUUUCCUAGUAGGACCCAAAUGAGUUAUGAGGAGAUUUGAAUUACUAUAUAUAUCAAGAAUUAUACUUUCCUAUUAUAUAUAUAUUCUGGUGUAUCUCUUGAUUUUUGUGAAAAAGAAUAAUUCAGAAUUUUACAUGGUAUCAACGCCAACUCUAGGUGAUUAGUGUAUUUGUUGAAAACCUUGAAUACUAAUUGUCCUUAUUUGUCAGAUGGUCACAUCACUGUCCUUGGAAGGCUAUUGCACAAGUAUUUCAGGAGUUUUCCUUGUUUACUCAAUUUGUGGUAGGAAAUGGGGAAAGAAUUCGGUUCUGGGAAGAUUUGUGGUGGGGGGACCAACCUUUGGGAACCCAAUAUCCAAGACUAUUUAGAGUAGUCUUGGAUAAAAAUAUUCUUAUUUCUUCAGUUCUUGGUUUUACUCGUCCUUUCUCUUGGAAUUUUAAUUUCAGUCGUAACCUUUCAGAUUUUGAGAUAGAGGAUUUAGAAGGCCUCAUGCGGUAACUUGAUGGAUUGCAUCUAUCUCCUUCAGUUCCAGAUGCCAGAUUUUGGCCAUUAUCUUCUUCAGGGUUUUUUUCAGUCAAAUCUUUAUUUCUAGCAUUAUCUCAAUUUUCUGGAUCUCCUCAGGUUUUCCCUUCUAAGUUCGUUUGGAAUUCUCAAGUCCCUAUCAAAGUGAAGUCCUUUGUCUGGUUAGUGGCACACAAGAAGGUGAAUACUAAUGACAUGCUACAAGUGAGAAGACCCUACAAAGCCCUUAGUCCUGAUAUUUGUAUUCUGUGCAUGAAGCAUGGGGAAUCAGUAGAUCACCUUUUCCUUCAUUGUUCCUUGACGAUUGGGUUGUGGCACAGAUUAUUUCAGUUAGCCAAGACGGAUUGGGUCCCCCUGAGGAGCAUCUUUGACAUGAUAUCCAUCAAUUUUUUUUUAAUGGUUUUGGUUCAUCUAAGAGGGAGAUAGUCUUGUGGCAAACUACGAGCAACUCUCUAAUUCGGGUUGUGUGAUGGGAAAGAAACUCGGAGAUCUUUGAGGAUAAAGCAAGGAAUUCAGAGUAUCUUUGGGACUCUAUUGUUUUCCUUGCUUCUCUUUGGGCUUUCUGUUCCAAGGUUUUUAAGGGGACUCCCCUUAAUGUGUUACAACUUGACUGGUUAGCGGUGUGUACUCCAUAAGGAUUGGUCCAUUAUAGAGAGUUCUCUUGUUUUACAGUGUAAUUUCUUGUAGUUUAGUUUUCUUUGGCGGGAGGAUUUUUCAUCCUUCUUAUUGUACUUCUUUUUUUCUAUCUAUAUAUCUCUAUGUCGUUUCCAAUCAAAAAAAAAAAAAAAUUGUCCUUAUUUGAUAUAUAUAUAUAUAUAUUUUGGUGGUGUUUUGAUUUCUCAGCCUUCAUUGUUGUGUUUGAUUCCUCACCCUUCAUUGUCAAUUUUUUUUCUGAUUCAAACCAUAGUCCUACCACCAAUUCUACCAAGACAACAUUCAAAGCGCCAUUAAGCCAAACUACAUAACCUCCAAGCUACUUACUACCUUAUCGAGAAGAAUUAUCUUCAAAGGUCUCAAUUGGUGCGAACCUUCCUAAAGGGUAGAGGAAAUUUGAGUCAUUUAAUCGGCACAAGACCAAAGCCCAGAGCUCCAAAAUUUCACAACUAGGAUGAAGAGGAUUCCAUAUCAUGUCUUAGUUAUGGAAUUCAAUGACCCUUGAAAUUAGUGGACCAUGUACGUUUUUUACAAUGACUAGGUACAUUUGGGAAGCUAUCUGACAAACCUAUUCAAGGGUAUGAGAUUUUGCUUAAAUUUUCGAAAUCAAGGUGAAUGUUUCGGACACAAAACAAGGAACUAGAUCUGUAACCAAAUAUGUCAAUAUCAUGAAGAAUUUGUGGCAGGAAAUUGACUACUACUAGAACAUUCAAAUGAAAUGCAUUGAAGAUGCAAUAAUUCUCAAAAAAAUUGUAGAAAGAGAACGAAUUUUUGAAUUUCUUAUAGGCUCAAUAUGGUGUUCAAUCAAGUGCAAGUCCAAGUCCUAGGAAAGAGGAACUUCUAUCCAUGAAUGAAGUCAACUUCAACGUUUGUGCUGAAGAAAGUUGAAGAGGUGUGAUGCUCAAACUAUCUUCUAUUGACAGUUCUGUCAUGGUUGCUACAAAGGCAAACAAAUUCAGCCUGAUCUUGUUAGAGAAACUGGGCAUUCUGAUGGUUCAAAGAAUCCCAACCAUGAAGAACUUUGAUGUAUCUAUUGCAAGAAGCCUCGACACACCAAAGAGAAGUAUUGGAAACUCCAUGGAAAAUCUCAGAAUCAAUAUUGGAAUGGGGAAAAUAAAGCAUGGCAGCAACACAGUCAAGCAAAUAUGACAAAUUGUGAAGGAGGCCCUCAAGAAAAAUCGAGUUUCAACAGUGAAGAAUUUGGAGAGGGAAACAAGGAAAAGAUAGAAAAACUGAGAAAUUUUUUAGGCAUUCUUGAUAAACAAUCGGCUAUGUAUUCUUUGGCACAAACAGGCAAGCCUUCCAUUUCUCAUACUUUAAGGACCUCAGAUUUGUCCUUCACUGACUCUUGGGUCAAUGACUUAAGAGCCACAAAGCACAUGACCCAAUCUUCUCUCUGUUUCUCUUCAAAUUGUCCUUGCCUAGUAACAAAAAUAUUUCUAUUGUCGAAGGUUCCUUUCCCAUGACUGCUAGUCAAUGAAAAAUGAAUCUCACCCAAUCUAUUGUUUUACAAGGUGCAUUACAUGUACCUAAACUUUUGGUUAACCUAGUGUCAAUCAAUAAAUUAACCAAAGAUCUAAAUUGUUGUGUAACCUUUUUCCAAAAUUAUAGCGUGUUUCGAAACCACUAAGGGGAAGACAUUUGGGCAUGCUAGGGCAAAGGAUGGGAUUUACUACCUUGAAAAAACCAGUCAGUGUGUUGGCAAAAAAAAAAAAGAAAACAGUCUUUUCUAUCCUUCUUGACCGAAACUACACCUUUCAAUAAAGGCGAGAUUUCACUUCAUCUUAGGCAUUCCUCAUUUAGAGUUCUUCAAACUAUAUUUCUUUUGUUAUUUAAAUCAAUGGAUGUAAACAGUUCCCAUUGUGACAUAUGUGAAUUUGCCAAGCAUCAAUAUGUUUUGUUUUCCUUUAGUACCAAAACUUCCCUACAUUUGCUUUGGUGCAUAGUGAUAUUUGGGUCCAUCUUGAGUUUCAAAUGUUUCUGGUGCUAAAUGGUUUGUGUCAUUUAAUAAUGAUUAUACAAGGGUAACAUGGAAACAAAAGUCUAAAGUGAACAAUAUAUUUCCCAUAUUUCAUCCCAUGGUUAAAAAUCAAUUUGGGGUUUGUAUAAAAAGGGUUACAACUGAUAAUACAAGGGACUACUUCAAUCAAGUUUUGUCCUCAUACUUUAAAAAGAGGGGAUGAUUUAUGAGUCAUCUUUUAUUGAUACACCCAAACAAAACGAGCUUGCUGAAAGGAAAAAUGGUCAUCUUCUUAGUGUUACUCAGGCAUUAUUGUUUGAAAAACAGCAACACAAAUCUUAUUGGGGGGAAGUUGUUUUAAUUGUUGCCCAUUUUAUAAACUAGGUUUCAUCUAGAGUCUUAGGAUUCAAAAGUCUCAAGGAAGUGUUUGCAAAAUUCUUUCCUAAUUGUCAUACCUUCUAUACAUUGAGUCUGAAGGUUUUUGGUGUGUGUCAUUUGUUCACAUUCAUACACAUAACCGUUAGAUCCAAAGGUUAUGUGUCUUCAAGUGUCUCCAUGCACAACACUUGGAGUAUUGAACUUUUCUUAGAGGAUAUAGUUACUUAGUGAAGUACAAAGCAACCAGUGGUAGCAAGAUCAAGUGUCAAGGCAAAGUUCUAGGCAAUAAGUCAUGGAAUUUGAGAAUUGUUAUGGCUUAAGAUUAUUUUAGAUGAUCUUAAAAUCAAGUGCACAUGCCCUAUGAGACUCUAUUGUGAUAAUAAGUCUACAAUCAACAUCUAGCAUGACUGAAAAAAGUAUAUGGAGGUAGAUCGACAUUUCAUAAAGAAAAAACUUUAUAGUGGUCUUAUUUGCAAUCCAUAUAUUGGGACAAGUGGCCAACUUGCAUAUGUUUAAACUAAAGGGUUGGCUAAUACCACAUUUCAAGGAAUUAUAGGAAAGCUAGGAAUGAGGAAUCUCUAUUCACCAGCUUGAGGGGUAGUGCUGAAAGUUUGGGUCCUAUAAUUUAGGAUUUUUCUCCUUUUAGGACUCUUCUUACACAAUUGUAAAUUAGUUAGGACUUUUCUCCUUUUAGGACUCCUCUUAUACAGCUGUAAAUUAGUUCGAAUUUUUCUUCUUGUAGGACUCUUCAUGUACAAUUGUAAAUUAGAUGCUAGAAGAUUUGAAUUGAUUUGAAUUACCGUCUAUCUCUUGAUUUUUGUGAAUAAGAAUAAUUCAAAAUUUCACAAUUGAAUAGUUGUGCAUGUAACAACUAUCUAUAUAGUUGUUUAAUUGAUUAAAAACAGGUCUACAAUUAGGCUAUAAAAUCUGUAAUUAGGCUAGGAAUAUCUUCCUUAUUUAUCAAUUUUUUUGUCAACUCUUUUGUGUUAAAUACCCAGGACCAACUUAUACUGAAAAAUUAGAGAGGAAACAUUUUUUCCUUCACUGCAUUCAUGGUAUCAGAGUAGGUCAACAACCCAGUUGUAUUAUGUUUUUUUUGUGGCCAUUAACAUUAUUUGGUCAAAAAUUCACACCCAGAGCUAUUUUCCAUGAUUUAUCAUGAACUCGAAAUUAAGAAAAAGAAAGCAAACUGCUGUAUCAAACUAACCUCCACUCUGCUGUUGGAAGAGUUGGGACCAAAGCUUAAGAAAAAGACACUGCAGAUCAAUAGGAUGAUUAAUGACACUGAAAGCCGUCCUAUGAAUCCCUUCACUCCCCAACUCAGCUGCUUCAGCGGCUGCCUAUACCCAUAUCUCCUUCGCAAUGCAUCUCCAGCCCUACCACAUUAAGAGGGACAGAGAGAAAAAGGGAGAGAAAUGCAGAUGUUUUAGAAAGUCAAAAGAGUUCUACACUCGUUCGGUUGCUGAGAAAAGAAAGCGAGAAAGGGGAAAAAACAAAAAUACAAAAACAAAAAAACAAAACAAAACAAAGAGAGGAAGAAAAUGAACGAGUCUGAAUUUCUCAUCACUUGAUCGAGCCAAACAUGCUAACAUUCAGCUUAGAUCAGAUGAAAUUCUACUUUUAUUCCCAAUUCCUAGCAUAAGAUGCAGAAUUAAAAUUUUAAAUAUAUAUAUAUAUUCCUUUACUUUUCCCAUUUAUCCCAGCAACCAAAGAGAAGCAAAAGAAAGACAGAAGCAAAGAGUGAGAACGAAUCAACAUCUUUUCAGAGAGAAAGUGUUUCACGAUCGUUUGGUUGCUGAGAAAGUGACAGAAAGGGGAGAAACCCGAAAAAAAAAACAAACAAACAGUUUCCAUUUACUUGUUCGAGGAUCGAGCAAUGUACAAACUUUCGGCAAGUUGAGACGUAUUCUCUCUCCAUUUCUAAUUCCUCCAAUCAAAAUAGCAUAAAAGGCAAAAAUUCAAACCAAAAAAAUAAAAGAGAGAGAAAAGGAAGAAUUGCGCUGCUUCACUUUUGGUUCCUCUGCAUUCAAAGACACAGAAAAAGACUUCCAGAGAGAAAAAAAUGUACGUGUUUUAGAGAGUGAAAGAAAGCUCCAAGCUCCAUUUGAUUGCUGAGAAAGCGCGACAAAAGCAAGAACUAGAAAACCACAAUUUCGAAUCCUGAAGUCCUCAUUACACAUCGGAGCCAAAUACAAGCAAUUUUAGCUUCCAAUUUCUCCAAAUCAAAACAGCAUAAAACGCAAGAUUUAAAUAAAUAAAAAAUCGAAAAAAAUUUUCUAUUUUCCUUCAAUUUUUUCCCACUCUUUCUAACAAAAGUUACAAAACCAAACAAAAAGAGAGAUGAAUUUAAAAAAUAAAAAAUAAAUAAAUAAAUAAAUAAAAGGAGUUUUAGAGAGAAUGCGACUUACCUCCUCAUUUUUUUAAUUGACUUUUCCUCUCUUUUAAAUUUGGAUCUGAUGUGCCGAAGCAGAGAGGAGACAUGCAGACAUAAACAUUAGUUGUUAAUGAGUUGACUCACUCUAGAAUCGCCCAGCAAAUAAUCACUACAGUCACAGGCCGCCUUCACGGCUUAGGAUGAGAGUCAUUUUGUCGGCCGAGAUUGCAUUUAAGUGGGACCCAUACAUGCGACUGUCACCACACGACGAUUUUUGUUAUUUAUUUUUAUAGGCUUUUCUAUUAAGUUGGUCAUAUUUUAAGCUUUUCCCAAAAAUUAUUACAUAACUGUUGUAGAAAACAAUUCUAAAAAAUAAUUUUUUAUAAUAAUUUAUAAAAUUAUUUUUUUUAUUUUUGUAAAGUUAAAGUCAUAUUAAGUGUUAAAAUAUUCCCUCUUGUGAAUUAGUUUGACUUAAAUGCAUAGUGGUGUUUAAAAACUUACUCAUUUUAUUCAUCUCUCUCUACCCCCUUUUUUUUUUUUUGUGUAGGAUGGCAUUUUUCAAAUGUUUCAAGGAGAAGACGGUAACCAUUCUUGAGGAUGAUAGUGAAAAUUUUGAGGAAUGGACUACCUUAUCAGUGCAUAAGUCACUUACUGACCUUCAAUAUUUGUCAAUGUCAGUGACAAAGGACCCAUUACACAUUUCUUCCUAGUCCCGAGUUGCAUCUUGCUAGCUUACAGAUAUUAGCAAUUCGAAACUCAAUAAGGUGAAAUUCGUUUCUAAUGUUCUGCUUUUGAAUUCCUCUCACCCAACUACUAUCGAAGUUCAUGAUAAAUUUGGAUUAUUAGGUUCUUGUGUUCGUGAUGGAGAAGCCAAAUGGGGAAGCUCCUUCAAGGUACUUGGGGAAUCUUUCUUUAUUAAAGGAUAUUGGAAAUGGGUAGAGGAGGUAUUGGGUCGACAUGGACCAUUUCUUAAAUGAUGCAAGCUUUAUGAAGCUAUUCUUGCAUUCCUAUUCAGCUAUGAUCAUCACGCCUCUGUGAUUAAGGCCUUUUGCGAAUGUUAGUAUCCUACCGUUAACACCUUGCAUACUUUCAUUGGAGAGGUUUCCAUAUCUCUUUGGGAGUUGUAUCAUAUUGUCGGACUACCUAUCAUUGGAUCUUUUUAUGAUGAGAUACUACCGAGCGCGAAAUAGUUAUCUAAUGAUGCAACGAAGUCCUCACUCCCACCAAGUUUUUGAAACUUAUUCCUUGCAAUCAUCGAAUUUGCUAUGAGACGAAAGGAAGUCUUCAGUCAAGUUAGCCUCUUAGGUGUCAUUUUGGUACAAAAGCUCCAUGAAGUAUGCAAAACCCCUAAAGAAGAGUAUAAGGAAUAAGGUGUAGAGGCCUAAGGAGACUCAUAACCCCUCUUGGGAUAUUGAUCCUGUUAAAUCUCGUACUCAAUCGAAGAUAGAAGUUUUUAACAACCUUGGCAUGGCGGAGGCAGAUGUUAAGGAAACUUACUUGACCGCUUUCUUGGCAUGUUGGUUAUGCAAGUUCGUUCUUCCUUAGGGGUGUCAAUUUGAUUCGUCCUGGAGUCUUCAAGGUAGCUAGUAGAAUGGCUCAAGGUGAGACAUUUUGCUUUGUUGUUUCGGUGUUAGCAAACAUUUACAACGACUUAAAUGAAAUCGCUUCUUUUUCGAAGUCUGAGACUAAUGCAUCUAUUUUCUCUAUUCAUUAUUUAUACGGAUGGUUAGGUGAAUAUUUUGAUACCCAUUUCAUUUCUCUUUCUUAGAACCAUCCUCCACGAAUGAAUUAUUACAUCAGCAAGUUUUCUACUAAGUUUUUCAAAGAUUUACAAGCUUAGGCUUUGAUAAUGUCUUGUAAAGGCGUAAAGUUGGACCACUUGGCAUUGCGACAUAAAGAAUGUGUGUACUGGAUUGAUAAUGAAACCAUUAGUGCCACCAAAGCUUCUUAUCUCAUAAGUCUUUACUCUAGCUAUUUAUCUUUGCAACAAGGUAACCACCGGAUGAUCUAAUCGUAUUAUCUUCAUCAGUUUUCCAAGCAAUUUAGGUGUCCUCAAGACCUUUCGGGGGGUUUGCCAGAGAUUUUUCGCACUAGAACUUUAGACGCAGUGUAUCAACAUUGGGAGUCAUGCACUAGGCUUGGUCCCUACUAUAAAGUUACUAUACCGGAUUAUCAUAAUCUUGAAGAGUUUCAACCACCAAGGCUUAUGCAAAUUAGUGGAUCAAAGUGCGCAAUCCUAAUAAGGAAGUUUUUAUUACUGCUUGUAUGAAGCCCCCUCCUGAUUCUUCUUAACAAAUACCCUCAAAGUUUUUAGAGAGUAGAACGCACAAGGUUGACUCAAGUGUUUCUAUUAAGGGGAACGUUAGGGACAAUGUUGAGAAGGAUUUUGACGAUUUACCUUUUGAUUCAAGAGCUUCUUCUAAGCGCUCAAUGGGUGCUGAUCAAAUUAAUACCUCCACACACUUGGAGCAUGAGGAAACUAUUUUUAAUGGUGAUAGUGGUCACUAUCACAAGACUUUUAAGCAACAAAACAAUACAUAAGGUCUUCAUGUAUUAGAUGACAACUCUGAAGAUACAAGUGAAUGUCACUUCAAAUGUCGAAAGAUUAGACCCAACCCUGUGUACUAUGAUGAGACUAACUCUCAUGCUCUUGAUGCAAAUGUUUUCUUUGCUGACGUCCCAACUUCUACUGAAUCGAUGGAACUUAAUGGUGAAGAGGUUUUUUUUUUUUUCAUUGAUACUAACAAAAAUAAAUAUUUGCCUUAGGUAAAGGGUGACAACCAAUUUUUCGAUGAAGGGGAUGAGUCAUCUCCUAAGGAUUGGUUCGAAAGUGUUGUUGCUACUAGGGAGUCAACACCCUUUACCCUGACUAUACAACGAGAAGAUGACUCUAUCAUCUUAUUACCUUUGCCUCAUUCUCAUUUGGGUGAUGAAGGUAUUACUAACAUCUUAAGUGAUAUUUUGAUUGAAUCUCAAGGUCAAGAUACCACAAUUGGAGAUACAACAUAUGAUGAAUUGACACUUUUAACAGUUGUAGGUUUAAUUGUUGAACAACAAUCUCCAUGCCUACUAUUGUGGCUCAUUCUACUUCCAUUUACACAUUCAACGUCCAACAAAUCAUCCUUAAUACCCAAUGCCAAGUAGCACUUAUGAUAGGAGAAGGCAUUAAGGAGAUGAUUGUCAACUUUUAAUGAGUGUCUCCCAUUUUUGAGAGGAAAAUUGAUGAGCUUUUCAAUGCUAUCGUGAGACUAGAGUGGACCUUUCACCAUUAAAGUCUCAGAUUGAGAAGUACAUGGUAAGUGUAGAUCACCAUUAAAGUCUCAGUUUGUUGAAUCACAUUGAAAAUCUUGUCUUUUUUUUUUUUUUUUUGCUUGUGUAGGUGGCUUGGUUAACAAGAUGAUCACUAACAUUUAGAAUCCAUUUUUCAAUAAUUCUAGAAAAUGCUCUGAGUCUAAAAAGUGUUUUUGAAAAAAAAAAUUAGAUGUUUAACAAAAUUUAGGAAACAAUUAAAAAUAUGAAAAGUCACAUAUAGAGUUCGUUAAAUAGUGAUUUUAUGAAGUGUUUAUGACAUUUCUAAUACUUGAAAGAUAAAAAUUUCCAAAUGUUAGAAAUACUAAAAACACUUCAAGUAAAAGCAUUCUCAAACGCAAUCUUAUAUUAUUGAGUCUAAUAGAUGCUUGUCUUUCACAUUGAUCAUAGAUGAAAUAAAGUGUCACUAAUAAUUUUGCUUAAUAAAUUUAAAGAAAAUUUCAUAAUACAUAUAUGCUCCAUUUUAUUUUAAAUUUGAGAUAUAUUAUUAUUAGAACAGUAGAAUGAGACUAUUAACCCAUGAAAUCUUUGAAUUGAAUUAUUAUAAAGGGAAAAAAGAAGCAUCACCUUUCUUCCAAUCAAACUAAUUCAUUCAUUUUUAUGUACUUUAGUAAUAAUUCAAUUACUUUCUUUAUUAUUAAUGUUAAUUAAUUAUUAAUAUAAAUAUAAAAAAUCUAAUUAUUUUUUUUAUUAAUUUAACUAUCAAUCAACCAUAAAAUAUCUAACUAAUAUAUUAUUAUUUUUUUGCCUAAAUCAAAAUAUGAUAUAUUAAUAUUAUCCCAUAUUUUAAUAUUAUUUAUUAUAUAAUUUUUUGUUUCAAUUAAUUCUAUGAUGUAGCACACAUCAUUAUUAGUUUCUUUUAUUUUUUAUUUUAAGUUUAUCAUUAGUUUUCUAUUUCUAGGUUUAGUUUCUAAUUAUCUUCAUUUCUUAUUACUUUCCUAAUUUUCUUAGUUUCUAAUUAUCUUGGUUUUCUAUUUCUAGUUUCCUAUUUUAAUUAUUUCCUUUAUUUUUACAUACAAACAUGAUUUAAAUGUUUAUUUUAAUUGUUAGAAUCAAUUCAAUAUAAUUUUUCAGAGUUAUUCUUUAAUUUUCAGAUCCUAUUGUGAUAUUUGUAUUUAUUUUUGAGUGUUUUUCAGUUUCAUUUUGAAACAAACCUUCCACUUCACCAUUCUAUUAUUAAUUAUGAGUUGUAUUGUAUUUAUGGUUUUCAUUUUUUAUUUUAUUAUUAUUAUUAUUUUUUAUGUAGUGGAACUUGUAUCAACUUGGACUCUUACAAUCACAAGUUAGUAAAGUUGCUCCUUACUUUUUUGAGAAUUUGAGUGAAAGAGGUUUGGAGGUACUUAGUUGUGUGAAAUUUGGAUGUCUUUUGCAUUAACUAUAGUGAUAGUGAGGACGGUACUCUAAUUUUGUAACAUUAUGUCAUACAAUCUUAUGUUGUUUUAUUAGUUUUAUAUUUUUUUUUAUGAAAUAAUUGAUCAAUUUUUUGAAGUUUUUGAUAUAUAACCGUGGUUAACACAUGUAGUUUUAAUGUUAUCGAUUGAAUCUUUAUUCAUUUUAUAUGUGCAUCACAUUUAUCUUAUCCUAAAAGUAAUUUUCAUUAUUCUUUUUUUUUUUUGUUUUCCUUACAUUAUUCUUCAUUUUUAUUCUUUUAUUUAUUUGAUAACUCAUGUUAUGUUCUCAUUCAUUCUUAAUUUAUUUUAUUUUUAUUUUUUACUUUCAUAUUAAUAUACUCAUUUUUUUACCUAUUAUACCCCUUGAUCAUUUUAUUUAUUUAUUAUAUUAUUUAUAAUUAUUUUUUCGAUGCAAAGAUUAAUAAAAUGAAUGACACAACUUAAGUGUUAACAAGAUUUAUUGCAUAAGAAGUAUAUAAUAGAGAAAACAUAGACGAUGUUAACUCAAGCAACAAUGAUAUCUUACCCUCACACAAAGCUCGAGAUUAGAAAUGAGUAAAGUUAGCCUCUUUCAUUAUAAGUUCUCUUGUAACAUUGGUUUCAUUCCCAUGAGCAAGGAGUUGACAUUCUUGUUCUUGUUUGCACUCUUUUUCUUGUUAAAUUCUCCUUUUUAUUAACAUAUUUUCAUUUUUAUUUUCCAUCUAAGACGCUAUUUUAUUUUUUUGAAAAUUAAAAUCAAUCUUUUGAAAAAUAUAUAUAGUUAAUACUCAAUUUACAUGCAUCACAUAGGAGUGCUUACUAAUAAGCUAAAAAUGUAUCGUUAUGUCCUUUAAAUAACAAAAAUACCAUGGCAAAAGGUUUGUUUAACCCCCAAAAAAAAAAAUUUAUAGUAAAAAAUAAAAUAAUUUUUAUAAUUUACGUUAUGAAAUUUUUAUUUGUUUAUGUUCUUGUUACUAGUGAUGGAGCCAAGGAGUGCCUAGGGGGGCAUUUAGACCUCCUUAAAUUUUGCUAAAAAUAUAAUAGGUAGUGGGAAUUGAACCAUAACCUAAAGUUUUUUUUUGGUAAUUAACUACCUUAACACCAAGUUAUAUUAGAAGUUUGAUGCUAUUCUGCCUCGAAUAAGUUCCAUAUAAUGCCCUCCUCAACCAUUUUUCUGGCUUCACCCUUGCUUCUUACGUCCAAUUCAAUAUAUAAAAAAUUAUUUAAAAAAUAUAGAAAUUAUUUACAAUAUAUAAGUUAAUCUCAAUCCAAUAUAUAAUAUUUUUACUCAACCUAAAAUAUUUUAAUAUCUAGAAAUUUUUUAUAGCUUCUUAAUAAACAAUCCAUUUGAAAAUUAUUUAGCAUUUUCCCAUCCUACUUUAUUCACGUACAUCAACUAAAGUUGUCAAAUAUAUUUGCAAUAGAUUCCAUAUUUCAUGAGUUGACAUAUCAUCCUAUUAGAAAGCAAAAUAAUGUAUCAAUAAUUCAUGGUUAAUGGCAUGAAGAACAAAAGAGAGAUGACAUUCUACCAAAUUAUUGCACACAAUUUUUUCACUAGUAGUUCUCAUCCAAUGUUAAUAAAUAAUUAUUACUUGCAUAUUGUUUGAUGACCAUUGAAGUAUAAUUGCUUGAGAGAGGCUCAUAGCUAGAAUUAGCACAAACAACAUGAUCUUGUGUUUUAUAUAUAUAUAGGUAUCGAAUCCAUUAUUCAAUAAAAGAAAUUGAAAAUCUUUACGACAUUCAAUUUAAUCAUAAUUUCCAAUAAGAACUAAACAACAAAGAUUUAGAGAAUUGAAAUCUAAGUUCAAUAUUAACAUUUAGAAAUGUGAUCAAAAUCUACCUACAAUAGGAUUUAGAAAACCAAAUACCACUUACAUACACAUAGUGGUCAAUCAAAGAAUGUACUAAGAACCUGUUUGAUAGUAAUUUUAGAAAAUAAUUUCAGUCUAAAAAACAUUUUUGAAUAAAAAUUAGAUGUUUGACAAAUUUUAAGAAACAUUUUUAAAAUUUUUUAAAAAUCACUUGUAGUGUUGAAAAAUCACUUAUAGUGUUUUAUAGAGAAAUACUUGACAAGUGAUUCUCCUAAAAACACUUUAAAAAAAAAACUUCCAUUAAAAAACACUUCAAAUAGAAACACUAUCGAACACGCUGUAAGUUACUAUUAACAACAUUGCAAACACAAAUUAUGCAAUCUAUGAAGUAAUCCAUUAUUAUACAUAAAAAAAGGUAAACAAUUCAUAACCACAUAAAAGCAUGCAACAUGAAGAGCAUAUUUUUGCCUGAUAAAUAAAGUCUUGAUAUAUAUAAUACAACUUUAAAGACUAGUUGUAAAGUUCUCUCUCAGAAAGCAAUCAUCUAAUACAAAGUCCAUCUUUCUUGCAUUAAUUUGACCUAAUCUAAUAAACAAGUAAAUAAAUUUUCUUCCAUUAAUUUCUCUUUCCUUUAAUACAAAUGUUUGUGCCUUCUUAAAAUUGAUUACUUACAUACUCAGAAGCUAAAAAUAUAACCAAGCAACAAUAAACAUCCAUCUUACCUAGUAAUAUCGAACCUAAAGAGGGUUGGCCAAUUAGGAACCUAAACAAGGCAUAUGGAAAAAAGGGCUCAUAACCCAUCUAUAAAAAGACUACACAAAUACAAGACUAAAGGAACUAAGGAAUUAUGUUCAAGAAUAUGAAAAACAAGAUCAAUAGUUUUAAAUUAGUUGAAAAGAAACCAAUAAGUAAUAAAGGAAUAGAUAUUAGCAAGAUGUAUAUACCUUGGUAGGCAUAAAAUGGCUAAAUGAGAUCUUUUAUAGUGAGAAUGCUUCAUAUUCUUUUUCCUUAACUGGAUUUACAUUUUGCAAAUAUUAUAAAAAUGAUAAUGUAUCCAUGCUAAGGUCUCAAAUAUGUUGAAUAUACAACCCAACAUUAAAAACAAGGGUAAAAGAAUAUUAAAAAGAGUAGAGGAGAUCAAUAGUUGAUUAUCUAAGAUGAAAUUAUAGUUCAUUAUCAAGUUUCUUGGGAAUUUGUUGUUUUAAAAUAUGCAAUAGCAUAUGAGAAAGUGGAGUAAGAGAUGGAGGAAAAUGUACAACCAUGAUGAUACUUAGAUUAGUUUAAUUUGAACUUUUUGAUAUCCAUGGCCUAAUUUUUCAUAAUUGAAAUAGAAUUUAAUAGUUGAAAUAAAUAAUUGAUUAUUUAAAAUACCAAUAAAUAUGGUGUUUGAAUUCAAGAACACAAAAAGUCCAUAAUUUUUGUUAAAGCUUUCUAAUUUUAUAUAAAAGUUAAUACUACUUUGUAUUUUUAAAAAUAAAAAAAGAAAUAUAUUAUAAAUAAGAUGUGUUUCACAUAAAUAGGAAUAAAAAAAUAUGAUAGAUAAUAUUUGUAAAUCGACAUAUCAAAUAUAUCAUCUUAUUAUAUAAAUAGAUAAAAUAUUGUAAUAUAUUUUAAUAAUAUAAUAUUUAUAUUUUUUGUAAUUAACUUAGUUUUUAUACUUGUUAUUAUUUUCAAUGCUAGCUAUUUAAUUUGAACAAGCUUGUUUUUGACAAAACUAGUUGGAUAUAAUACAAAUAUUAAAAAGAAAGGCAUAUCUAUGGGAGUAAAAUAUUAUUGUACUGCUAAGCAUGGAUAUGAAAUUGGACUUUAAAAAGAUUAUAUGUUGGAAAUUAAACCCAUUCAUUAAAAUGGGCAAACCAUUUUUUUUUUUUUAAGAACAUAUAUGAAAACAUUGAAAAUUGAAAACACUCUAUUCAUUGGAUCUUCCUUUACAUUUAUUACUUUUUGACUGAACUCAUCUUUUUUCUUCUCUCCAUGUAGACACUACUUUUUUUAUGAAUUUAUCUUUUUUCCUCUCUUUAUGUAGACCCCAAUCUUUCGUAAACCUCAUCUGUCAAUUUCUUGUAGAUCUCUUAUAGUUAUUCUACAUUUUAAGAGUCUCUGAUCACUUAUAUUUCAACAAUUUUUAUUCAAUCAUUUGACACAUUUUAAUGAAUUGAUGAUGUUCCUUUUAUUUAUAUGUCAGAAUCUUGGUGUCUCAUAUCAAUUGUGUUGUCAAAUAUGAAUUAAAUUUCAAUAAGGAAAAGGAAAAUUAAAGGAAUGUUUUUUUUUUUCUUUUUAAAAUCCAAAUUGAAUCAACGAAAAUAAAUUAAAUAAGUUAAUGGUUUUUUUUUUAUAAGAGUUUCCUUAUGUUAUACAAUUAUAACAAAAUUUAUUAAUAUUUUUUAUUUUUAAAAAUAUAAAAUAAGAAAUAUGUAAUAAAUCAUAUGUUUUUGGUGUAUUGGAGUUGGAAUAGGAAUCACAAUGAAAAUAAAGUUGAAUAAGAGGAGAAGAAUCCAAAAUCUAAUAUAUGUGCAUUUUAAUUUUCUUUUAACAAUAAUUAUAUUCUAUGAUGUUGUGAUUUCAUUAAUAAAAUAAUAGGUGACAACUUAUCAUGUUACGUUCCCAUUAAUAACAUAAUGUGUGGAAAACCAGGAACUCUUGCAAGUGGACCAUUGAGUAAAAACUUCAAAAAUUACAUAUCAACUCAUAGACAACCAUAAUUAAACACUAUCCUAUACUCUUAAACAUAGCAUAUCAAGUUAUGAACAACCAUGGUUAAACACUAAUCUAAACUAUUUGAACAUUCCACAAAAGAAAAAAAUUUCAUCAACCCAUAUGCAAACUUGACAUGAAUUCAAAUAUUUGGGUUACCAAAUAAGCAACAUGAUCCCUAAGACCAUGGGAUUUCAUUUAUUUCAAUUAAUUAUUUCCUUUUAUGCAUAUGAUUUAUAUUGCAUAUAUUAGGAGAUAUUUUUUAAAUGCUUUUCAAAAUUGGAAAUUUUGGAUUUUUUUUUAAAAGAAUAAAUUUUCAUGAAAAGCGUUUCCUUUAUUUAUUUAAUUAAAGAAUUGGUGAUUGCUAAAUUUUAAAUUCCUUUUGGGACUUUCCUAUAUUUGGGAUUAGGUGGUUGAAGCCAAUUUUUUUAGGUUCUCCCACCUUGAGAGAAGAACUAUGAUUGGGAAAGGAAAGUCUAAGGACAAGGAAUAUGAAUGCAAUUCCUACUUAACACAACAAUUUUAAUUCAAUUAAUAAAUAAAAAUGUUGGAAAAUCUCAUGAUGGAAAUUUAUUUUACCAAAAUUAUUUCAAAGUCUCUUAUUUAAAAUAUUAAGUGGGAGUGUAAACCACAACCUCCAAGAUCAAGCCCAUCUUGAUUUUAGGUCCAUCACCAUCCUAAAGAUGGGGUGACCUAAGGAAUCAAGAGAUAUGAACUAUUUUAAAAGGAUAAAGCUAUCUAUGUUUGUAUUAGGAGUGACCAAUCCUAAAAAAUGUAACUCUUCACUUGGUAAGAUUGAUGUUAGGGAUCUUGGUUAUACACUUAACUUAGACAUGAAGUGCUAGAAUCGCCUAAAGUGAUCCUACUUGCAUACACUAAGGGUUGAUCUCAAAAGUAUGCUAAUCAAUACCUUAGGAUAACCUUUUGAGGUUUAAGACAUGUUGAUUAAUUAGAAAGGGUCUCUACUCUAGUAAUAAGAGUCAUGACUUGCCUAAAGUAGGCUUAAUUUCUAUGAUAUUAGAAUUCCUUGCAUGGAUAUAUGUAGUUUGAGAGCACUGCAUUUUUGCUAAAUUAAUUAUUAUCUUUGCCUUGAAUGCUUAAUUUCCUUAGUAAUGCAUGAAAUGUUUUGUCUAUUACAGGAAUCAUGUCUUAUAACCUUAUCACCUUAAUUCUCACUUAUAAUAAAUUGAUUGGAAAAUAAACCUGGACGUAGUGCUCACAACAAAACAACUUAAAUGGGUAACUUAGCAUCUUGCUCUACCCAUUUCCAAUGAGCUAUCCAUGCAAGAAGAGAAAGAUGCUCAUUCCUAGUGGCUAAGAACAGAUAAGAAGGCUCAUUGAAUUAUCCUUGGGUCUUUCAAUAAUGUGUUGCAACAACAACACAUGGACAUUAUCACUACCUAUGAGAUUAUCUUGAGCCUGCAAUAAAUGUUUGGUGAUAAGGGUAGGCUAGCUAGGCAAACUGCCUUAAGGACCAUCAUAAACACCAGGAUGAUAGAAGAAACUCCUAUUAGAGUCUUAUGAUUCAUAUGAUUACACUCUUUAAUAAGAUGGAGAUCCUUGUAGUUGAAAUUGAUAGGGAAUAAAGACCUUAUCAGACUCCUUCAAGUAGUUCAACUCACUUAAUUGCAUAUUACCUUAGUUCACUUGGUGACACCUUAGGUUCAAAUCAUUUAGUUGCAUUCUAGCUUAAAUUCGACUUACUUAAUUGCAUUUUAACUUAGUUUACUUAGUGACACCUUAGGUUCUUAGGUUUAGGUUACUUAGUUGCAUUCUAGCUUAUGUUCGGCUUACUUAGUUGCAUUUUAACUUAGUUACACCUUAGGUUCAACUUACUUAGUCACACUUUAGUGUAGGUUUGGGUCAUAUCAGCUCACUUAGUCACACUUUAAGUUAGUUUACUUAGUGACACUUUAGUUUAGCUCAUCUAGUUACAUUUUAGGUUAGUUUACUUAGUUUAGUUCACUUAAUUGCAUUUUAGGAAUUUUCUUAGUUGCACUUUAGGAUACUUCAUCUUAGUUGCACUUUAGUUCAUUCCAUUUAGGUACAUUUUUAAGUUAGUUCAUCUAGGUGCAUUUUAGGAUAGUUUAUCUAGAUGUAUUUUGAGAAAAAAAUUAGGUGCAUUUUAGGACAACGUUUCAUAUCAUCUUAUAUGGCAUGUGCAUGGGGAACUUAUUUGGGAAGAUAAGAAAGACAUUAAGACAUUGAUAUUUUGGAGAGUUUGAGUCAGGAAUGAUUAUUUUAUGAUAGGAAGACAUGGAUUAAGACAUUGGCAUUUUGGAGAUUUUUUUUUCUUUUUUAAUUUGGAAGGCUCCCAUUGAAGACAUGACUUGAGAAGUGGGAGAGGAGAUUCACACGACUACAUGGAGAUUUUUUGAGAUUGAGGAGAUUUUCAGAUAAGGAAAAAUAAGUCUUUGGAAUGUGGGCAACCAUUAAGAUUUUUUCCAUCAAGAGGAAUCUUAGAGCCACAGUUUUGAAGGAUUCUUUAGGACUUGUAGUUGCCAUAUAUUGGUAUAGGAAGACAUGGAUUGAGAUUUAAUUUUGGAGGAGAGAUACACGGUUUUAGGAAGGUAGAAGGAUUUUUAGGAGAUCAAGGAGAACUUUUAGUGAGGAUUCUCUUAGAUAAAAGGAUGAGGGUUGCCUCUUGCCAUUAAGUUGGGAUUUUUUUUUUUAAGAGACUCAUACACAAGGGAAGAGGGAUUAAGAGCUCACACCUUAAGAAUUAGGGAAGUGAACCCGAUUGUCACAUUAAGAAGUUCACAUAUUAGAGAGAAUGAGGGAGAGUAGGAGAGAUUUUUUGUCAUAUGCUAAAUGGACUUUGGUAUUUUGGGCAUAACUUUCACCAUAAAUAUGCAGAGGGAGAGUAGGAGAGCUUUUUUUUCACAUGCUAAAUGGACUUUGGUAUUUUGGGCAUAACUUUCACUACAAAUAUGGAAAUAUGGUGAUUCUUAAAGCUACGAAAAACUAACAAAAAUGACACAAUUCAUCUAUUGAGAAAUUUUCUUGAAUCAAUCAUUAUCAAGGAGUAAAUCUUGUGACAAGUUUUGGGUGAUCUUUCUCAUCAUAUGCUGAACAAUUUUCCAUAUUUUGAAGAGAACUUUCGCUAUAGAUAUCAAAAUAAGGUGAUUCUUGAAGAUGUGGGAAAAUAAAAGAAAGGGCUAUAGUUCUUAUAUCAACAACUUCUCUUACAUCAAUUGUUAUCAAGGAGAAAAAUAGCUAACAAGAUUCAGGUAUACGAUUAGCCUAAUUGGAGGAUUCCUUAGAUGUGGAUGUUUUGGAGAUUGAGAAGAGAAGAAGGUAGUGAUUACACAUAGAAGGGGGCUCACACACCAUUGGAAAGUGGAGUUAGAAGAAGAAAUAUGAGAUCUAAAAAAGAAAGGUGUAAUCUUAAGAGACAAAGGUGAAGUCUUAAGAGGCUAGGAGAGGUAUGUUCAUUUUUUUUAAUUUUUUUGCACUUCUUGUUUAGGAUAAUCUAUUUAGCUUCCUCUUUUUCUUCCAUCCUAUUUGGAUUUAGGUUUAUCGUUGGUUGGUGUGGAUGCAUAGGCUACACAGAUUAUUGAUUUCAAUUGAUUGAUGGUUGUUGAGGAUGAUUGCUUCUUGAUGUUAGGGAUUUACGGAUUUUCUUGGUUUUCUUUCUCUAUUCCUAAGCUUCUUUGAUUAUCAUAUGGUUUUAUUUCUUUAUUCUUCAUCAAGAUUCAUUUUUUUUAUAUAUAUUUUAAGUUCAUCUUAUGUUUCUUGGUCAUAAAAAAAAAAAUCAUCUUUUGAAAACACAUGCAAUCAUGUUUCAUUCAAUAUGCAUAUUUGGAAAAAAAAAAAAAAAGUUUUUGAUUUUUGGGUUCUCACAUGAAUAAAAAUUCAUGACUCCAAAUAAUGAAGUAAUUCUUGAUUCUCAUAUGCUUCCUCAUGAUUAUGAAAGAUUGGGAAAUAUAGAUUAAAUUCAUGUAUAUUGAUUUGGACCUUGGUGAAGUCCAACAUUCAAAAUUUUUUUUUUUUCAAACAAAAGUUUAUUGUCACUGUUUGUUUGACUCACUGGUUUUUGGAAUAAAAAUUAGAAUUAAAUGGCUUAGGGUUUUCAUAAAAUUAUUUUUAUCUUUAUAUGGUGUUCUUAACUUCUUAAAAUUGUCAAACAAAAUUUAUUUAAGCUAAAAAUCAUUUUUAAUUGGAAGAUUUAAAUUGAUUUUUCCAUAGGUUUAGUUUUAAACCUUUUUUGGCCAUUUGAAAUGAUUCUACAAAUUUAAAUUAUUUCUUGAGUUCCAUACUUCUUGCUGAUAUUUUUCUCUUAAUAUACACUUCUUGAAAUUAAUUUUAUGAUUUUUUUUUGUUGAAAAUCGAUUCCUUAAGAGGGGAGAAAUUAUUUUUUUCUUAUAUCUAUUGCAUUAAACUUAUUCUAUAGUCGGGAUUGUUUGACUUAAUUUAAAAAUCCUUCUUAUGUGAUUAAAUCAUAUUGUUAUUUUUUUUUUUUUGUAAAAUAAGCAUAUUGAAUAUAUUUAAAAAAAUUUCUCUUGAUUUUAUCAUGCUUGUAGAUUAGUCAAAUAAAUUUGUUUUGAAAUGCUAUCGAAAUUUGCUAUAGUUUUUUUACCAAUGUGCUUGAGAUGAAAUCUGGGAUUGAAUGAGAUACAAUUUAAUAAUUUGACCUUUUGAUUUGUUAUUUAGACAUAUUAAAGAUUUUGUCCAAUUUUUUUUAUGACAAAAUUCCACUUCUAGAUAUUUUUUAGGAUUUAUUUUGCAAGCUCCUUUAUUUUGAUUGUAUGUUGAUGGUUUUGUGUAGGGUCCUUAAUAUAAUGAAAUCUAGUAUUGAUUGACAUGUGAUUGAAUAAUUUGGGUUCUUGUAUUGUAAUCUAGACAUGAUAAAGAUGUCCCCAUUGUCCAAUUUUUUUUAUGAUAAAAUUCCAUUUAUAUGUGUUUUUUUAGGAUUUAUUUUGUAAGUGUCCUUGUUAUGACCAAUACUGAAUGUUUUGUAAAUUGUUGAUAAAUUUGAUUUAAUCUAGAUUAAUUGAGGGUUGAUUAAUUUAUUUUCCAAUUAGGUUGCUUUUAGACACUUUGAGGAUGAUGCCUAAUUUUUAUUUUGAUAAAAUACCAUGUAUAAAUGUUUUAUUUUGAUUUAUAUUAUGAACUUUUCAUUUUUGCCCUAUUACUUAUUGUUUUGCCUAUUUUUGAUAAUUCACUUUUUUAUGCACAAUUGUGAGUUUUUUUUUUAAAUCUUGAUAUCCAUUAGAUAUUGGAUUCUUAGGAUCUCUAGCUCCAAGAGAUUAGGGAACAACUCGACUGCAUCACAUCUUGGAUCCACUCUCAUGGCACUUUGAGUUUUGCCCCUCCCCCACCACCUGACGAUUGAUGAUUAUUUGUAUGUUAUUUUGAUAAAGAUUGAUGUUAGGUUUGUUCUUGUUUUAAAAAAAAAAAUUCUCUGGGAUGUUGUUUUAAUGACGAUUGAUGUUAGGUUUGUUCUUGUUUUAAAAAAAAAAAUUCUUUGGGAUGUUGUUUUAAUGAAGAUUCAAAAAAAAUUCUUGGGAUCUUAUUUUGACAGGUUUGAGUGAGAUUAAAAUCUUAGUUUGAGAGUUUUGGGUAUCUUAUUAUAAUCAUUUUGUUUUGUUUCAAAAUUGUCAAAGGGAGAUAUCGUUGGUGCAUUAAUUUAGGUUUACAAUUUUGCUUCAAAGAUAAUUAAUUUGAAACUACUGCACUAUCACUAAGUCUUACAUCAACAUGUUCAAAUUAAAGAAACUGAAUUUGGAAAUAAGGUAAGUAUCAUGGUUUGAAAUGUUGUAAAAUAUUAGUGAUAUUGUCGAUAUUUAGCUUAUCAAGGGGAGAUUCCACACUGAAAGUUGGUCAGUCACUUUUUGCCGAUUUUUCGGAAAUAUUGCUGAAAACGUUUUUGCCGAUAUUUCGGCAAAUUUCCCGAUUUUUUUUAAAAAGUUAGAGCAAUCAAGUUGGGUCAAUUCUUCAAAAUUUUUGCCUACAGCUAGGUGGAUUCCAACCCAAGUCUUUUGAAUGCAUCAUCAUUUAUUUUACAUUAUUGAAAGCAUUUAAAUUAAAUAAAUUAUAGUUUUAAUAUUAAAUGUAUCAUCAUUUAUCUCAUUAAUCCUAUUUUAAAAAAUUAUUAUCACUUCACUUUUUAAUUUUUUAUAUUUAUUCUUUUAAUUUUAUUUAAUUUUGAAUGUUUUUAUUUUAAAAUAUUAAAAAUAUAAAUUUGUUCAAAAAAUUACUAAAAUAAUAAUAAUAAUAAUAAUAAUAAUAAUAAUAAUAAUAAUAAUAAUAAUAAUAAUAAUAAUAAUAAUAAUAAUAAUAAUAAUGAAGUUCUAUAUUUCAAAAAUUAAAAUUAAUUUGAUAAAAUAAAUAAUAAAUUAUUAAGACAUAUAUAUAUCCCUACGGAAAUUUUGACCAUAUCCAUUUCAAUUACACUUAUAAAAUAACUUUAACAUGUAUAUUUUUACUUUUUUUUUUUUUUGAGUUUUUUCAAACAUUUUUAUGAAUUUUGAAUAAUUUUCGUUUCAUCUAUCCACCAAUAUUUUACCGAUAUUUAUGAUAAAUCUGUAAAAUCCAAGUACUGAUAUAUUUGUAUUUACCAAUACGCAAACUAUGAUAAGUGUGUGAUUUUAGAUUAGUUAAUAAAUGACAAAGUUGAAUUUAAUAUAAAUUCAAGAUAUUUAUCUUUCUAAUGAUUUUUUUUUUUAAGUAUUUGCUUAAAAAAUUCCCAUUUUUCCAACAUAUGAUAGGGUGAAAAUUUUGUAACACAUGAUACAUUAAAUAAGAGUGUACAAGGUUGGGUUAGGUUAUACUCGAACAAUUUUCAUCUAAAGCUACCCAAGUUGAAGCCAAGCCCUUCAAGGCCAGACGGUCCUGGGCAGGACUUCGGUGGUUAGUUCCCAACCUAAGCAGGGGCUUAUGCCUAACCUAAGCUCGGGAUAUUGGAGUAAGCUCGGCCAGUCUACAAAUCUGGCUUGAGUUUCUAAUGCUUUAGGGCAAGACUCAAGUAGGUUUUGGGACAUCAAACUUAAACAUUUCUAUUACCCUACUUGGUAAAAGAUAUGGACAAACAAGUUCCUCAGUUAGAAGUUUGAUUGGAAUUCAACUGGAUUAAUAAACUACAUGACACUGUGCUAUUGAUACGUGCCAAUUGGAAUGCAAAUACGAUGAGAAUGAGAGUAUGUUUGGUAUGUGGCAAUAAGAAAUAUGAAUACAUAUUUUAUUUUCCUUAAAUAGAAAUAAAUUUGUUGAUUUCAAUUAUUAUGUUUUGGAUGUACUUAGGAAUAUAAGAUUAAGACCAUUAUUUAUUUCUCUUUCAACAUUCAUUGAUAACUAAAAUGAGAACAAAAAAGGAAAAGAAAUUAAUAGUAAUACCCUUACAUAUAAUUUAAAAUAUUAUUUUUAUAUUUUUGUUUUAAAAGAAUAAAGGAAAAGAAAUUAACAGUAAUACCCUUACAUAUAGUUUAAAAUAUAUAUAUAUAUUUUUUAUUUUUGUUUUAAAAGAAUAUGUUUUGAGAGUUUUUUUACUUAAUAAUAAGACUAAGAAAAAUAAUAUUUAAUUAAUAAAUAGAAAUUAACCAAAAAAAAGUCAUAUAAGUAUAAUGGAAAUAAAGUGGUAAAAUAAUAAUUUAAACAUGUGUAUCAUUUUUUGUAUUGAGAGGAUCGAAAUGCCUCGUGUUGAACAUCAAUUGAUAUCUUGAAAUCUUGAAAUCCCACUUAUAAGUGAAAUUUUAUUUCUAUUAAAAUUGUUUUUUUUAUUCUAUUUGUAUUAUCAUUCAAGUUAUCCAAUCAAAGGAAUGGAUGGAAAGAGAAAUGAAAUUUUCAUUCACACUCUUCAUUUUUAUAUAUCAAUUAAACAUGACCCGAAAGAGAAUCAUAUAUGUAAAAAAGAGGAAUUAAAAUUUUAGUGAAAGCAAGAUUUGAUUUCCCUAUUAACAAAUUUUUUUAUUUGGAAUCCAAUUCUAAAAGCCAAUUCAAAGAUAUUAAUGAAUUGGAAAGAAAUUGAUUUCCCAUUUACAUUCUUUAUUCCGAUGUUUUAAUACGUAACUUAGAGUAUAUAUUGAAAUAAGGAUAACAAUAUAAUUAAGAUUUAAUUAUGAAGUCACAUUCAAAUUCCGAUGAAUUUGAAUAUUAUCAAUCAUAAGGUGUUUAUUUUUUUGGCCUUUUAUUAAAAGUAAUUUGCUUUUAGAAUUUAGGUUGUUUGUUUAUUUAAUUUUUAAUGACUUAUUACUAAAUUUUUAAAAUUUUUUGGCUAAAUGAAAAAAACCAUGGUUUUUUUAAAUAGAGAAAGCUAGUUUUUGAAACCUCCCCUCAAAGCCCGACGCUCGACCUUAGCCCACCCAUCCCCUCAAAGCUUUCUGCAACUGGCAUCCUCAACCCUCAGCUCAUCCCCAAAGCGGUAAUUUCUUCAUUCUCCUCCUCCAUCGCUCUCCAUCCGAGACUACACAGUUGGAAAGACGCUUCACUUUCAAUCGACAUUGUUGAUCUGAUUGAAGGUAACCUCAACCCAAAUUUAUUUUGGAUUUUUGGAUUUUAAUAGAGCAGUCGAGUGUCAUUUCCCAGUGCUUCUCUCUCUAAAACUCUCAUUCUCUACUCUGCUUCACAUAUGCAAGUGCUCUAUUUAGGGUUUUUGAGUUCACGUGUUGCAGGUCCUAAGAUAAUUUUAGGAUUUCUAGGCUCUGUUAGAGGAGUUGUGUGGGUGUUUCUUUUGUUUGAGUUCAUUUUUAAGAAAAGAUUUAUAGGCUAUUGAUUUUGUUUAAGAUUACAAAGAAUGUGGGUAUCAGGUAUUUGGGUUUUUUUGUCUCAACAAGACCAAAUCAGGAGUAUUCAAUGGGUGGUUGGGAGUUUAAUUUCUAUCUUUUGCAACCCUUUUGAUUUAGUUGUUCAGACUCUCUUACACCAUUUCUCUGAUUGGUAUGUGGAUGCUUUGUUUGUUGAAUUUUACUUGGGUUCUGUUUAUGCAUCCUGUCCUUGUGAUCGACUUCUGAAUUUUUGGCUUUGGUCCAUGGAUAUCCAUCCUUUUAAACUCUCUGAUGAUCUGGCUGUAGUGAGACUGUAGACUCUUAUAACAUGUGCCUAUAUUUUCACAUAUAAUCUAUGGAAUGUUUCUUGGAUUCUGUUUGAUGGGUUUAACGAACAGGGUUAUAAGCUGCCCUGUCUAUGGGUAUGGUUUCUAUUCCAUCUUUGUAAAGUUCACAGUGAUGCACUGUUGUUGGAUUUGUUUUGUUGCUUUUGUAGUCAUCAUCUAAGUGUAGAUGUGUACCUAGAGAGAAAAAUCAAGGCUGUUUGGCCGUUAAUAUGCCACAUAAUUAGUCUAUCUUUCAUUCAAGUUGCUUUUGAGAUUGUUAAGUGUCAUUGUCAACCUUUCUACUCAAAUACAUGAAAUUAAUUUAAGCAUAGCUUGUCCAUUAUUAAACUUCAGAAUUUUCCCAUGUGAGAAAGCUGGAAUGUCUAUUAUCCUUUGUUUAUGGGGAAAUAAAAUUCUGGAAAGGAAGGUCUUAAUGCUGUUGGAUGAGAUGCAUAUAAAAUGGAGAGCUGCCUUACUUCGUUUUGGAGGAUGAGAUUUUAUCAACAAUCUAUUUGUUAAAAGGAAGUUCUUUGUUUCAUCUCUUCCUUUGGUAGCUGGCAGUGGAAGAGAAAGCUGUUGAAAACAUGAUGAGCCAGCUAAUGAUCUCUUAAUCCUUUUGAGUGUGUAAUUGUGGACAUAGCAACCUGAUGUUAAUAUGUCUGCUUGUGUUGAGAGAAGGGCUUUGGUUCCAAUAUGGACUUAACACAUCUUAGUCCUUGGCUGGCCCUCCCAUCACCAUCUUGGGACUGAUUUGUUGGUCUAGGAUGUUGGCUAGAGCAGCAGGCUUGCCAAGGUGGAAUUGACAGGCAUGAAAUCUGGUAGUUGAAAUGAGAGGGUGGAGAGAAUGACAUGUGUCUGUGAGUGACAUGUUAUUACCAGAGGCUUUCAUGUCAUCAAAUGGUAAUUAAUACGGGAAUGCACCUUCUUGGAGCACCCUUAAAGGAUCUAUUUCCACAAAAAAAAAAAAAAAAGAACUGGGAACUUGCUCUCCCUUUGUUUUUUUACUCUUUUCUCUUUCAUAUCUUAUACUAGAGCACUUGUUGUAGUCCAAGUGUACCUGCUGUAUACAGAGGUUAUGCUCUCUUUGGCACAGUUCUCAAUCUAUUUAUUUAUAUAUAUAUGUAAGAUCAAUUGGAUUGAAAAGGGCAGAGGUUCGCUUUUGAGAUCUAAACAAUAUUCUCCCUGUUUCGAGGUAGGGCUUGAAACUCCUUUUGCUUUUAGAAUUGAAACAAUAGAAAUAAAAUUUUAAAAAAACAAACAACUUAAUACUUAAUGCUAUUAAGCAUUAUUUAGUAUUAAGUUAAAAAUAAGUUCUAUUUAGAAUUAAGCCAAAAAAACAAACGCCACAGCCUAAGAGUUGUAUGAAUUUAGGUUAAGUGCAAUUUUCUGCAUGUUGAGAAAUUUAAAAAUAAGUUAUCGAUUGAGAAAUUUUCUUGAAUCAAUCAUUAUCAAGGAGUGUGACAAGUUUUGGGUGAUCUUUCUCAUCAUAUGCUGAACAAUUUUCCAUAUUUUGAAGAGAACUUUCGCUAUAGAUAUCAAAAUAAGGUGAUUCUUGAAGAUGUGGAAAAGUAAAAGAAAGGGCUAUAGUUCUUAUGUUGAGAACUUCUCUUACAUCAAUUGUUAUCAAGGAUAAAAAUUGCUGAUGAGAUUCAGGUAUAAGAUUAGCCUAAUUGGAGGAUUCCUUUGAUGUGGAUGUUUUGGAGAUUGAGAGGAAAAGAAGGUGGUGAUUGCACAUAGAAGGGGGCUCACACACCAUUGGAAAGUGGAGUUAGAAGAAGAAAUAUGAGAUCUAAAAAAGAAAGGUGUAAUCUUAAGAGACAAAGGCGAAGUCUUAAGAGGCUAGGAGAGGUAUGCUCAUUUUUUUAAAUUUUUUUUUGCAUUUCUUGUUUAUGAUAAUCUAUUUAGCUUCCUCUUUUUCUUCCAUCCUAUUUGGAUUUAGGUUUAUCGUUGGUUGGUGUGGAUGCAUAUGCUACACAGAUUGUUGAUUUCCAUUGAUUGAUUAUUGUUGAGGAUGAUUGCUUAUUGAUGUUAGGGAUUUAUGGAUUUUUUUUUUGUUUUCUUUCUCUAUUCUUAAGCUUCUUUGAUUAUCAUAUGGUUUUAUUUCUUUAUUUCUUCAUCAAGAUUCAAUUUUUUUUUUUAUAUUUUAAGUUCAUCUUAUGUUUCUUGGUCAUAAAAAAAAAAAUCGUCUUUUGGAAAACAUGCAAUCAUGUUUCAUUCAAUAUGCAACUUUUGCAAAGGGGAUGGAGGAAUGAGAAAGACCUAGAGAGAGAGUGUGUGCGAGAGAUGGAGAAGAAAGCUGGGAUCAGGGUGGGAGCAGGAUCGCAGCGGGUUUCCUACAGUCAGGGGUUCGUAGAAGGAGCUUUGGGGUAGAAUCGAAAAUUUUUGAGGUAGAGACAGAGAGAAAAAAAGGGAGGACGCAAAUCUUCAUAGUUGAAAGAAAGGGAGGUGUCUCCUCUUGGGUAAAGUUGGGACCGGCGAGUCUAGGGCCGCUCAUGGAAGGCCUGACCUUCUGCAUCAAGGAUACGAGGACCGGACAUUGGGAAAAAUUUUGGCAAGAGAGUGGGAGAACCUUCUCUUUAACGCACGGCGAAAACAAGGGGGGAUGCUUCCUACGCCUGGGUGUCACGGAUCGGGAAAAGAAAAGAUUUAACAUCUUUGUACCCAAAGGCAAAGGAACAAAAGGGGGUUGGGCCCUGUUGGUUGAGGUGCUGCGUGAGAUGGAGCCUGGCUCAGAUGGUCAGAGGAGUCAGCAAGUGAAGGAGAAGUGUUGGAGCCCCAUGUUGGGAAAGUCCUUCGCGGACGUGGUGAAACAGAAUCGUAGUUGUGAAGAGGUGGUGCGGGUAAAGAUCGUUAAUAGGCCAUCAGGUGGAAGAUUGGAGAAAUUGGCUCAGUGCCUUGUCGGAAGCUGGGACCCGAUGCUAGGAAGGGGUGACGAUCUGCGAAGUUGGGGGACCCAAAUGUCAAAGUUGUGGGGUUUGAAGGGCAACUUAGGCUUGGCCAAGUUGGAAGACGGCAAAGCCCUAUUGGAAUUUGAGUUAAGAGUAGAGGCUGAGAAAGCCCUAAAAAAUGGUGUCAUAUCGAUCAGUGGCUGCGACGUGCGACUGGAGAAAUGGAGCCAAAGGACGGGAUGCGUGAUGGAGGAAGAGAAGAAGAAAGAGGCUUGGGUGAGAAUACUUGGCCUACCUAUCUCCUUAUGGGAUCGGGACACCCUCUGUAAGAUAGGAGAGGGAUGUGGGGAAUUUUUGGACAUUAACGCCAAAACGGAGAGGAUGGAGGAGUUGCAGUGGGCUAGGAUUCGGGUAAGGAUCAAAGACGAUAGAAUCCCUAAUAUGGUGGACAUAUGGGUGGAGAACACGUGUUAUUCGGUGGCCUUGUGGUGGGAAAUCAGGCCGUCGUUAAGAAAAUUGCAGGCCGAUGACAAAGGAAGAACCCUCGCAGCUGCUAGAGAGGGAGAAGGUGAGUUUCAGACACGCGAGGGCAAGUGCGUGAUGGAGGAGGAAGGGGGCUCAAGGCUCGAGACCCAGACGCAGGUGGUGGAUGGGAUGUGGAGGCUGACAGCUGGGGCGGGGCAACCCAUGGACUGUCAUCACGGGUUGGGUGGGUCGCGCCUAGGGAUUCAGGGUAUGGAGCGUAUGCAAGGCGGGCCUUUAGUGAUGGGCCUUUUGGAGAGACCAUGUGGGCUUGGGGGCCUUACAAUUCAGUCCUCUUUGGUGGAUCAUGUCGGGCCAAAAGAGUGGGUGGAAAGGCCCAGAAUCUGGAAGCCCAAGGAAGGUGCUGGACUGGUGGCCGAAGGCCCAUCGGUGGAGACCAGUCUCCAUUCUAAUGUGGCCCAGAUUUGUGGCCCAAGUAGCUCGAGGAUCCCAGCCCCUGAAGAUCCUUUGCUCAGGGAGAAGGAUGACAUGCGCAGGCUAAGCGGGGCAGAGCUCAUCCAAAUGGAGAGAUCGUCUACUGAUCUCGCCUUCGCGAUGAGGUACGAUAAGGUUUCGGAUUGCUUGGUUUCUGGGACCCCUUCUCUUCUUUCUCCUUUUUUCGGUCGGACUCCAGUGGGGGAGUAUUGCGACUUUUCUGGGGAUGACAAAGAGCGUGAUGAGGGAGAAAAUCCGAUCCAAAUGAUCAUGGGAUCGAAGUCCCCUACGGGUGAGAAUGUCGACUGUUGGGAUCUGGUGGAGGUAAACAAAAAUACAACUGUAGAUGGUGGAAAGGAGAUGGCCUUAGACCAAAUAGUACCACAUGCAUCUAAGGCAAAGGGGGAGCUUAGCUGGGAAAAGAGUGAUCUGGCCAAGUUCAACAAUUUCUUGGGAUUUUCGACAGAGGGUCUGGAGAAGGACAUUAUGGAAUUCUUGGUCAAAAUUCGUAAGAGAAGAAAAAGAGUUCAUAGCAAAUCCCUGUUGGAGAAAACAAAAUUCGAGAGAGAACUGAGAAGAUUAGAGUGCUCCAUUAACUAUGAAGGGGGAAAGAAACAAAAUGGUGGUGAGCAAGCAAGGGGGUGCCAGAUUACGGAAGUCUAAUGAAGCUACGAAUCCUUAGCUGGAAUGUUCGUGGAGCUAAUGACAGCUCCAAGAGAAGGAUUAUUAAGGCAAUGAUCAGGAGUCAGAGGGUGGAUCUCUUUUGUCUUCAGGAGACCAAAAUUCAUUCAUUAUCGGAGGGUCUGGUGAGAAGUUUGGGCGCUGGCAGGUGGUCUAAUUGGGUGGCCUUGGAUGCAGUGGGCUCUACAGGAGGGAUGUUGGUGUGUUGGGAUAAAAGGUCGCUGGAGGUGAUGGAGACGGAGGUGGGGAAGUUUUCUGUCUCGUGUAGAUUUAGAAAUGUGGAAAAUGGGCUAACCUGGUUUUUUACUGGUGUGUACGGGCCUUUUUCGAAAGGUGAGAGAGAAUGCCUGUGGGAAGAGCUAGGGGCGAUUAGAGGCUUGUGGGAAGAUCCAUGGUGUUUAGGGGGUGACUUCAAUGUCAUUCUGUCCCAGAGGGAAAGGAAUAGACAGGGAAGGCUGACUGGGGCUAUGAGAAUUUUUGCCCAAACUGUUGAUGAAUUAGAGUUGAUGGAUCUCCCUAUGCAAGGGGGUGCUUUCACUUGGAGUGGGGGGAGGAAUAACCAAUCUUGGGCUAGGCUAGAUAGAUUUUUGGUGACACAAUAGUGGCUGGAGAUGUUCAGUGGGGUCGCCCAAUGUAGACUGCAGAGACCCACUUCUGACCAUUUUCCUAUUUUGCUGAUGGGUGGUGGGUUGAGGAGAGGUCCUACUUCGUUCAGAUUUGAGAACAUGUGGCUGAAAGUGGACGACUUUAAAGGUCUUCUCCGGGAGUGGUGGCAGGGGAUUGAGGUGAGAGGAAGGGCCAGUUUCAGGUUGGCCUCCAAGCUGAAAUUAUUAAAGCUAAGGAUUAAAACCUGGAAUAGGGAGGUAUUUGGAAGGCUGGAAGUUAACAAAAAUUCUGCCCUUCAGCAAAUGGAAUAUUGGGAUGGAGUGGAGAGUGAGAGGUGUAUGUCUUUAGCUGAAACUGAGCAGAAAAAGGAAGCCAAGGACGCCUUUCACAAAUGGGUGUUGUUGGAAGAAGUCCAUUGGAGGCAGAAGUCAAGGGAGCUGUGGCUUAAGGAAGGGGAUAGGAACACCGGCUAUUUCCAUCGGAUGGCUAAUGCCCAUCGGAGGAACAAUUCCCUGGACAGGAUAAUGAUUAAUGGUGAGUGGCUGACUGAGGACCAAGAGGUGAGGGAGGGGAUUGUGACUGCCUUCCAGAAUUUCUUAUCAGAAGAACCGGGGUGGAGAGCAGAUAUUGAGGGGCUGCACCUAAAUCAAAUUACUCCUCGGGAAGUUGAAGACUUGGAGAAGCCUUUUACUGAAGAGGAAGUCCACGGUGCCUUGAUGGAGAUGAGGGGAGAUAAAGCUCCAGGACCGGAUGGAUUCACAAUGGCUUUUUGGCAAGAAUGCUGGCCGUUUGUGAAGGAGGAGAUGAUGGAUCUUUUUAAGGAAUUCUUUGAGUAUGGGUCGUUCUCCAAAUGUCUCAACAAUACCUUUCUGGUCCUUAUCCCAAAGAAAGGAGGUGCUGAAGACUUAGGGGAUUUCAGGCCCAUUAGCUUGCUUGGGGGGUUGUAUAAAAUCUUGGCCAAAGUCCUAGCGAAUAGGCUAAAGAAGGUGCUUGAUAGGGUCGUUUCGGCAGACCAGAAUGCUUUUGUGAGAGGGAGACAGAUUCUAGAUGCGUCUCUUGUGGCUAAUGAGGUGAUUGACUACUGGCACAAAAGGAAAGAGAAAGGGUUGAUCUGCAAGUUGGACAUUGAAAAAGCCUAUGAUAGUUUAAACUGGGAGUUUUUGAUGAAGGUGCUUCGGAAGAUGGGAUUUGGGUCGCGUUGGAUGGAUUGGAUGUGGUGGUGUAUCUCCACAGCUAAAUUUUCCAUCUUAAUCAACGGGGUGCCUGCUGGUUUCUUUCCAAAUUCUAAGGGGUUGAGGCAAGGAGACCCCCUUUCUCCGUAUCUCUUCAUCUUGGGCAUGGAAGUUCUUAGCACACUGUUUAGAUGGGCUGGUGAGGGGGGUUUCCUUUCUGGUUGUAGGCUUCGGGGGAGAGGGGGUGUGGAGAUGAACGUUUCGCACCUUCUCUUUGCUGAUGAUACAAUCAUUUUUUGCAAAGCGGAAAGAGAGCAAGUUUCCAAUCUAAGCUGGAUCUUGGCAUGGUUUGAGGCGGCUUCGGGUCUCAGAAUUAAUCUUGCUAAGAGUGCCCUUAUUCCUGUUGGGCAGGUGGAUGAGUUGGAGGAGAUGGCGGCUGAGCUAGGAUGCAGAUUGGGAGCAUUACCCACUGUCUAUUUGGGGCUGCCCCUAGGAGCCCAUCAUAAAACUUCUUCUUCUUGGGAUGGGGUGGAAGAGAGAAUGAGAAGAAGAUUAGCCCAAUGGAAAAGACAAUACAUCUCGAAGGGGGGGAGAAUUACUCUUAUCAAAAGCACUUUGGCCAGCAUACCCAUCUACUUUCUAUCCCUUUGUGGACCCGCAUUUUUCACGUGCGUCCCCACUCGAUCGGCGAGACUCGUUUUUUAUUUGUGAAAAUUUGAUUUUUGAAAAAAAGUUGGAGUCGCCACCUAUUUUAUUUUUAUUUUGAAGGGAAAAUAAAACAAGAAAGAAAAACCCUAAAAAGUGACUCCAUAGUUUUGGAAAAAGCAUGUCUUUGAGAAACCCGAGUCUAAGUCCGGGGAUCAGGUUACUUAUUGGGAAGGUACCUCUAGGAGGUAGCACCCCUCUAAGCCCUAAAAAGGUCUCUACUAAUUAAGUUAAGGGGAAUAUGGCAAUUAAUCGGUUAAUUAUGGAUACCUAAGUAGGCUAGGUGAUUUCAAAAAAUUUGCAUGCUAAACAAGAUCAAAUCACAAUAAAGGAGAGUUAGGGCGCGUACCUGGACUGCCUCUCAAGCGCUAUCAUAAAACAUCAGAGUUAGUAUAAAAGUAUAACACACAACAUGUAUUUAAUCAUAGUGAAUCAAACAUACAUCUAAACACCUAAGGAUUAUCAAACAUAUGCAUACUUCACAGUGACAUGAUUGUUUACAAAAUUUAGAAAGUAGGUGAUAGGGGGGGCGUACCUGGAUAGCAUAGAUAACUUACAAUGGCUUCCAUAAGACAUGAGGGAUUAGAUAAUAAUAAAAUAAAGAAACCCUAGCAUGCUUAGCAUAACAAAAAUUAUCAAAGUAUAUGAAAACAUUAAUUAUCACACACAUCUUAUAUACAAUUCCUAAAAAAGAUAGACAUAAUUUCAACAAAUGACAAAAAUGGCAACAAAAAUAAUUUUUGAAAAGAUUUUCUUAUGUAGGGGUUUCACCAAUUCCCCAAUUGAUAUACACGAAUUUAGCUCAGAAUUAUCCCAUUUAUUUGGGACCACAAACUUUGAUUCGUGUUUUAUUCAAAACUGGAAUUUUAUUUGAAAGAUGUGAACCGAUCAAAACAUGGUUGCACAUUAUUUUAAGAAAAUGAGAUUUUUUUUUUUAUUCCAAGGACUCUAAAUGAAAUUUUUUUUAAAAAUAGGUUUUUAAAGGGAUCUUUUAAGGAGAGUGUUGGAUUUCAAAAUAAAAGAAAUUAAUUUGAAAAUGACAAGACAUAAGGAACAAAAUACCAAGCAAAACAAAAGUGAUUAAAAUCGCAAAGUAGAGUUUUUGACAACUGAGAAAAUUGAAGUGGUGAGAAUGGAGGUCAAUCUUCCCUAUUUUCCGAUGGCCUCCGAAAAGUAAAUUUUACUAGAGAUUACCAAAGCAAUAAACUACUCAAACUUAGAUCAAAUAAGCUAACGAGAUACCCACCAAGAAUUAAUGACGAAUAUUCAAGAAACACAUCUAUUAAGAAUAAAAAUCGAGAAUUAGUAUGAGAUCAAUUAACCACCCAAACACAUCUAGAUUGAUUAACAUGAGACAAAUUAAAUCAAAGCAAACAAUAAUUUUCAAACAUAGAAUUAACUUUAUUAAUGAAGUAAUUUUAUAUAAAAUACCUAAAUCGAAUAGAUGAGUGAAACUAAAUCAGGGUAAACUAAAGGCAUGAAUUUUCAAAUAUAGAAUUGAUUUUAUUAAUGACCUAAAAUUAUACAAACUCCUCAAAUACUUAAAAUGAAUCAAUUUAAACAAAAGGAAACUAAAACAAAAUAUGGAUUCAGGGAAUCUAAUUUCAAAAUAAACUUACAUUAUUAAAAUGAAACCUAGGCUUAAAAUGAAUUAAACACUAAUUAAAGUCAAUCUAAGCUUAAUUCUUAACAUACAUGAUCAAUUAUUUUAACAAACUAAAAUUUUACCUUAACCACAAAUUAAAUUUAAAAAAAAAAAAACUACCUGAGACUAAAUUUCUAAGCUAUAAAAUUAAACUCAUAAUCAAAUGAAUAAGUUGAUGACACAAACAAGUAAAUACGAAUGAAAUAAAAUAUGAAGUAAACGAAAUAUGAACUCAAGGAAUUAGGUAAUAUAUGUAUGUAUAUUUUUUUAAACAAACUUACGUUAGUAAAAUAACUUUGAGCCUAACAAACAUUUUUAUCACUAAUCAAGGCAAGUUUAAAAUAUAAUACUUAACACAUAAAAAUCAAUCAUUUCAACAUACUAUAAUUUUAACUAAAUCUAAAGCCAAUCCAAACCACCUUCAAUAGAUUUUUUUUAUUUUUUUAUUUUUAACUAAAUUUUUAACCCAUAGGUUCAAUCUUAAUAAUAAAUAAAUAAAUAAGUUACAAAGCAUUAGAUUAGUAUCAAAUAAAUAAAUAACAACUAAUAAUUAAAUGAAUCAAAACUAAAUUAAAUAAAAAUCAAAUUAUAUAUAUAUAUAUAUUUUCUUAAAGUAAAACUACAUAUAAAAAAUAUAUUUUCCGAAUUUAAUAUAAUAAAUCAAAAAAACUAACCAUAAACACAAUUCCCAUGUUGCCAUAUUAAAAUGAAACCAAUAUAUGCCGGCACUAGUAAUAAAAGUAGAUCCACUUACCUAUUAUAAUAAUUAUUCCACUAAAGAAAAUGUCCAAACUUGCAUUGUUACAUAAACCUAAAUAACAAUUCUAGUCUUUUAAAACUCAUGCUACCAUAUUCAAAAUCAAUACGUGCCAAAACUUGUAAAAGUCAAUCCACUUACCAUUAUAAUAAUAUUUCCACUUAAAUAAAUAUUCAAACUUGCACUUUACAUGAAACACAUGCUGCCACAUUCAAAAUCUAUACGUAAAUGCUAAAGCUAAUAAAAAAUAGGUCAACCAAUCAACCCAAUAUAAUAAUCCAACUUAAAAUAAACUAAACUUUAGAUAUUAGUGAAAACCCAUAUGUAUAUAAAACUAUCUUACCUAACGGCUAUGGUGAUAUCAAAGCAAGGUGGUGUGCAGCUGGUGCGGUGAAGUUAUAGGAGCAAGUCUGGAUGGGUGUGGCUGAUUCCUCUCUCGUCUCCCAAUGAUGCGGCUGUUGAGGAAAGUUCCUCAAAGAUGCGGCUGUUCCAGAAGUUCUCAAGGUGCGGGUGAUGCUGAAAGUUCUUCAAAGAUGCAGCUGUUCCAGAAGUGCUCUCAAAGGUGCGGAUGAUGGCUGAAAGUUCCUCAAAGACGCGGCUGUUCCAGAAGUUCUCAAGGUGCGGGUGAUGCUGAAAGUUCUUCAAAGGUGCAGCUGUUCCAGAAGUGCUCUCAAAGGUGCGGAUGAUGGCUGAAAGUUCCUCAAAGACGCGGCUGUUCCAGAAGUUCUCUCAAAGGUGCGGAUGAUGGCUGAAGGUUCCUCAAAGACGCGGCUGUUUAUUUCUCCAAGUGGCAGCCGUGUGAAUGGAUCUCCUUUACGUGGAGAUGUGUGUUGAAUCUUCCUUCAAAGGAGUGGUGCGGCUGGUUCUCGAUGCAUGGUGCGGCUAUGGUGAGUUCCUCUUCAACUUGCAGCCGUGUGGGUACCUUUGGAGAGGAAUGAAAUCUCAGUGCAUGGUGCGGCUCCUUCAAUGCAUGGUGCGGUUGCCUCCACUUUCUUUCUCAAUGGUUUUCCUCACGUCCCAGAAUGGUGCCGCUGCACCCUCUCAUCUUCAAAAGAAAUGACCUUGCUCUUCCUUAAGGGGACGGCUGCAUCUGUUCUUGUCUUUCAAUGGUGCGGCUACACCUUGCACUCCUCUACCGACAGAAAGAACCCACUCCUUUCAGACCACCUCUCUCCUUUUUUUUUUUUUUUCUUUGGUGCAGUUGUCGAUCUCUUUUUCUCCUCUCCAGCCACAGUGAUCGAAGACACCGUAGGAAAGGUUCUUCUCUCUGAUCUUUUUCCUCUCUUCUUGAAUGCAAAAAUAUUUUCUUUCUUUCCUGGUGCAGCUGCCCUUCCCUCCAGAGAAUCCUUUCCUCCUCAAUGGUCCCGUUGACUCUACCAAUAUGGAAAAAAUCCCUCACCGGUCUAGAGAAAACCCGUAAUCUUCCGCAUCAGUCCAACAUGAUUAGAACCCUCCCUUCUGAACCUAGUCUUCAUUCCGUCCAAAUACCCAUUGAACCUUUCCUUUUUCCAUGCCAAAAUAGCUUUGGUAAUUUUCUUUCUUCAUUCAUUUCCUUCCAUCAAAAGCACAAUCAGCACAUGCAUGGGUGCAUACUUGCUCUCUUUCUCAUUUCAUUUCCUUCCAUACGUCCUCUCCUCUUCCAACCACCUUGGAUCUAUCCUUCAACACAUGCAUAUCUUUGCCAAUACAUGUUUUCAACCUUCCCUUUUCUCUCCAGUGAUGAUUCCUUUGGUGAAUUUCUCUACAAAAAUAUAAAGAAAAUUAGACUUAAUGAAUGAAUCCCAAGGUGUUUUAGAAAAUUAUAAAAUAAACAAACAAAUUAAAUUAACAAAAUAAUUAAGUAAAUAAUGAUAAUAAUAAUAAUAAUAGUAAUAAUAAUAAUAAUAAUAAUAAUAAGAACUCAUUUCAUGCAAUUAUAAAAUAAAAUAAAUAAACAAAAAUACAAAUAAUAAUAAUGAUGAAAUAGUAUAAAUAUAUCAAAAACUCACUUAAUCUUAAAAGCAAUCAAUAAAAUAAAUAAAUAAAUAAAACAAGAAAACAAAUCUAAGUGAAACUAAACCUUGAAAAGUGUUUAAGUGGGCCUAAGGCGAUACCUAAUGGGCCAAGUGUGUCUAAUGGGCCAAGUGUGUCUAAUGGGCCUAAGGUGCACUAAGUGAACCUAAAGUGAUGCCUAAUGGGCCAAGUGUACCUAAAUGGGCCUAGGGUACCUAAAUGGGCCUAAAGUGGCUAAAUGGGCCUAAAGUGCCUAAAUGGGCCUAAAGUGAUCUAAGUGGGCCUAAAGUGUCUAAAUGGGCUUAAAGUGAUGCCUAAUAGGCCAAGUAUCUAAAUGGACCUAGGGUGAUGCCUAAUGGGCCAAGUGUGGUGCCUUAGUGGGCCUAAAGUGCCUAAGUCUAAAUUAGAGCUGCCAAAGGUCACAAUAAGAGGUCAAAUCAUCCUUCAACCAUAGUCUCCAAGGUGGCUUAGAAAAUAUAGGCUACACGAGUAUUAACAGGCCACCAGGGAAUUGCUAUAAACGACAUGUGCGAGGAAGACAAAAUAGAGGGUCUACACCCUUAUACGCAUCCCUAAAUCUGUUACAAAAAGGAUUGAGAAAAUCCAAAGAGAUUUCCUUUGGGGGGGGAGGAAGGUUGGAGAGGAAAGCUCAUUUAAUUAAAUGGAAGGUGGUUUGUAGCCCUAAGGAGGAGGGAGGACUAGGCAUCCGAAAAAUAGAUGUAUUGAACAAAGCCUUGCUGGGUAAAUGGGUGUGGAGAUACGCCUAUGAGAAGGAGAAUCUUUGGAAAAGGGUGAUAGGGGUGAAAUAUGGUCAAGAGGGGUGUGGGUGGAGGACUAAGGACGUUUGUGGGCCUUAUGGAGUGGGAUUGUGGAAGGAGAUCAUGAAGGAAGCUGAUUGGUGCUGGGAGAGUAUUGUGUUUAAGGUAGGCAAGGGGACCAGAAUUUUGUUUUGGAUGGACAAGUGGUGCGAUAAUGAGGCCCUUUCUCAAAUUUUCCCCCAGCUGUUUACGUUGGCGGGUAAUAGGAAUGCCAAAGUAAGUGAAGUGUGGGACUCUAGCUUGGGUCAAGGAGGGUGGAAUAUCAGAUUGGCUAGAGAUUUCAAUGAUUGGGAGCUGGAACAGAUAGGAAAUAUGCUGAAUCUGCUGAAGGAUUUCAGGACUUCGACUGAGGAGGAUGCUGUGAGAUGGAAAAGGGAAAGCAAUGGUGUUUUCGGGGCUAAGGGUGCUUACAAAAUUCUGGUUGGGUCCUCAGCUUGUGUCUUCCCGAACAAACGCAUUUGGAUGGAUAAGGUGCCAACAAAAGUAUCUUUUUUUGCUUGGGAAGCUUCGUGGGGGAAGAUCCUCACCUUGGAUAAGCUUCAAAGAAGGGGGUGGCAGCUUCCUAACCGGUGUUUUCUGUGUGGAUGUGAAGAGGAAAGUGCGAAUCAUAUUAUGUUACAUUGUACAGUGGUUAAGACUCUAUGGGAGAUCGCUCUCGCCAUUUUUGGAGUCCAAUGGGUGUUCCCAGAAUCAGUUAUAGAAGUGUUACUUAGUUGGAGGGGAUCUUUUGUGGGGAAAAAAAGAAAAGACACCUGGAAUUCCAUUCCGUUGUGCAUUUUUUGGACGGUUUGGAAGGAAAGGAAUAGGUUAGCGUUUAGGGGGGGGUCUUUAGAUAUACAAAAAUUCAAGAAUUUUUUUGUAUGUAAUUUGUGGAGUUGGGCUAGGGUGUACAUUGGUGAGGAUACCUAUUCUCUUUUAGGCUUUUUGGAGUGGCUUGCGGCCACUUGAGGGUGGGUGAGGUUCUCCCUCUUUUUUGUUCAGUUCCCCUUUUUGGGCAUUUGUGUAUACCCUGUAUACAUGCGGCUUUUUAGCCUUUUCUAAUAUACUCUGAUCGUUUAUCUAUAAAAAAAAAAAUGUUUCAUUCAAUAUGCAUAUUUGAAAAAAAAAAAAAAUUUUGAUUUUUGGGUUCUCACAUGAAUAAAAUUUCAUGACUCUAAAUAAUGAAGUAAUUCUUGAUUCUCAUAUGCUUUGUCAUGAUUAUGAAGAACUGGGAAAUAUAGAUUAAAUUCAUGUAUAUUGAUUUGGACCUUGGUGAAGUCCAACGUUCAAAUCGUUUUUUUUUUUCAAACAAAAAUUUAUUGUCAAUGUUUGCUCGACUCACUGGUUUUUGGAAUAAAAAAACUAGAAUUAAAUGGCUUAGGUUUUCAUAAAAUUAUUUUUAUCUUUAUAUGGUGUUCUUAACUUCUUAAAAUUGUCAAACAAAUUUUAUUUAAGCUAAAAAUCAUUUUUAAUUGGAAGAUUUAAAUUGAUUUUUACAUAGGUUUAGUUUUAAACCUAUUUUGGCCAUUUGAAAUGAUUCUACAAAUUUAAAUUAUUUCUUGAGUUCCAUACUUCUUGCUGAUAUUUUUCUCUUAAUAUACACUUCUUGAAAUUAAUUUUAUGAUUUGUUUUGUUGAAAAUCGAUUCCUUAAGAGGGGAGAACAUAAUUUAUUUUUCUUAUAUCUAUUGCACUAACCUUAUUCUAUAGUCGGGAUUGUUUGGCUUAAUUUAAAAAUCCUUCUUAUGUGAUUAAAUCAUAUUGUUAUUUUUUCUGUAAAAUAAGCAUAUUGAAUAUAUUUAAAAAAAAUUCUCUUGAUUUUACCAUGCUUGUAGAUUAGUCAAAUAAAUUUGUUUUGAAAUGCUAUUGAAAUUUGCUAUAGUUUUUUUUACCAAUGUGCUUGUGAUGAAAUCUGGAACUGAAUGAGAUACAAUUUAAUAAUUUGACCUUUUGAUUUGUUAUUUAGACAUAUUAAAGAUGUUGUCCAAUUUUUUCCAUGACAAAAUUCCACCUCUAGAUAUUUUUUAGGAUUUAUUUUGCAAGCUCCUUUAUUUUGAUUGUAUGUUGAUGGUUUUGUGUAGGGUCCUUAAUAUAAUGAAAUCUAGUAUUGAUUGACAUGUGCUUGAAUAAUUUGGGUUCUUGUAUUGUAAUCUAGACAUGAUAGCUCCGAGAGAUUAGGGAACAACUCGACUACAUCACAUCUUGGAUCCACUCUUAUGGCACUUUGAGUUUUGCCUCUCCCCCACCACCUGACGAUUGAUGAAGAUUGAUGUUUGAUUGUUUUUAAAAAUUAUUUGUAUGUUAUUUUGAUAAAGAUUGAUGUUAGGUUUGUUCUUGUUUCAAAAUGAAAAUUCUUUGGGAUGUUGUUUUAAUGAAGAUUGAUGUUUCAUACAAGUCUAAUGGAAAUAAAGUGGUAAAAUAAUAAUUUAAACAUGUAUAUUAUUUUUUGUAUUGAGAGGAUCGAAUUGCCUCAUGUUGAACAUCAAUUGAAAUCCCACUUAUGAGUGAAAUUUCAUUUCUAUUGAAAUUGUUUUUUUAUUCUAUUUGUAUUCAAGUUAUCCAAUCAAAAGAAUGGAUGGAACGAGGAAUGAGAUUUUCAUUCACACUCUUCAUUUUUUGUAUCAAUUAAACAUGACCUGAAAGUUAAAAUUUUAGUGAAAGCAAGAUUUGGUUUCCCUAUUAACAAAUUUUUUUAUUUGGAAUCCAAUUCUAAAAACCAAUUCAAAGAUAUUAAUGAAUUGGAAAGAAAUUGAUUUCUCAUUCACAUUCUUUAUUCCGAUGUUUUAAUACGUAACUUAGAGUAUAUAUUGAAAUAAGGAUAACAAUAUAAUUAAGAUUUAAUUAUGAAGUCACAUUCAAAUUCCAAUGAACUUGAAUAUUAUCAAUCAUAACUAAAUCUAAUGUGUUAUAACUAUAUUUAUAUAUAUCAUGAGAUAGGAUAAAAGAAUGGAUGAUAUGUGUCUAUCCCAUGUUUGGUUUGUAAUGUGAUAAGAUAAAUUAUCCAAUCCCUUAUCGUACCAUAUGUUCAACUAAAUAUGGAACAAGAUAAGUGGUGAAAUAUAUUAUUUAUAAUUUUUUUAUAUAUUUUUUAUUUUUUUAUAUUACUUAUUUUGUAAAAUAAAAUUUUUUAUUAUAAAAUUAAAUUAGUGAUUGAAAAAGAAGAAUAAAACAAUACUUAUAAUAUAUAUAUAUCAUUUUACAAACUAAAUAUAAGUAUAACAUAUUUCAAUAUUGGAUAUGCUACUUGGUUUUAGUAUCCAUGGAUAUCAUAUCCAAUUGUAUAUCAUAUUUUAGGAUAUGUAUUUUUUCUAUAUAAUGAGAUAUAAUAUCCUAAAAUAUACAUAUAAUAUCCCAUCAACUAAAUAUAACUUGUAUCUUUAUAUAAAUUUAUUGACAAAUUAACAUAUAUUAUAAAAUAUGAGUCCACGUAGAAAACAUAUAUUAUAUAUUAGAAUAUCUCCACCAAAUAAACAUACAUUUAUUUUGCAUCAGAGGGUUUGUGUUCAAAUUUAGUUGCUUAAGUAUACAUGGUCAAACAUAAGUUAAUUGAACUAAAAUUACCUAAUACUAUUUCACAAGUUUUCAGGAACUACACAAGCCAACAUCAAUUACAUGCUACAAAUUAUUAUGCCAAACCAUACUUAAUUUCCAGGAAGAGACGUGUGUCCAAUUAGCUUAUCACUCCAUUAGAUAUUGACUUAACCUUGCAAACGCCUGCUGAUGUUGUGAAAGGCACGUCUUUGUAGAAAGCAAACAGUUGUACGUCAGUGUGCAGGUCCGAUUGCAGUGUUUCCCAUAUCUUUUUCUUGGGGAUGAGAACACGGUCCGGUUUGCCUUCAAAACCAGGAAAUGUCACCCUUUCUCCUACUGAAGCAGAAUGGGGUGGUUCCACCAAUUCAACCUGAAAUAUUCACAAUGGUUUCAGUUCAUUUCUAGUCAAUCGUGUGAUAAUCACUGACAGUUUUCUUGAUUCCAAAGUGGUGGAUAGAAGAGAGAUCAUUUGGUUGCUUAAAUCAAGGAUCGAUUAAGAAGAUUGCUAAACCAAUGGAGGUCAAGUGGCUUACCUUGGUGCCAUUCUUGUCGGAAGCAGUAAGAACCAUUGCUUGUGAAUUGACUCCCCGCAUGGUUGCUGGCUUCAGGUUGCAAAGGACACAGACUUUUCGGUUCUGCGAAGGGUAAUAUUACAUCAUUCAUGAUUCUCAAUCAGCUACAUUCGCUAACCGAAAGAAGCGUGAAGAAAAGGCAAUGGACAUACCAGCAUUUCUUCAAGAGGUACAUGUUUGACAAGGCCACUAACAACGGUUCGGGUUGCUACUUCACCAACAUCUAUCUCUUUCACAUAAAGGGAGUCAGCAUCCGGAUGUUUCUGAGCUUCCUUGAUGAGGCCAACACGGAUAUCAAGUCUAGAAAUUGAAACUUCUGAUUUACAGCUUUUCUUUAUUUGGACUUCUGAUCCAGACUUGGUUGACUUCUGUUUCUUUCCAUUACCAUCUAGAAAAGUAAGAACACCACCAUCAAGUAAAUCCUCUUUGAGUUUUUUUCUUUUCAAUGCCUAGUCUGCGUUCUCCAAAUCAAACAUGGAAACCGCCAUUCUUCAUUGAAUCUCUCCAUCAAUUAAUUUUACAAUGAGAUUCAAUGGAGCUGCAGACAAAUACUAAAGACUACUACUCAAAAAAUUUGGAACAAGAUAUGAAAAUUUCCCUGGUAACAUUUUGCUUUCACAAACUGUAUUCCUUAAUAGUAUUUGAGAUAACAAUAAUUAUAAGUGGUAGUCACAGUAGAAGAAAGAAUGGAAACCUGAAAUUUUUGCUUCCUUCAAUUGUUCAACUAUCUUCUUUGCUUCAGCUUCUGCCUUCACGACCCUAUCUGCUUGACUUCCGGCAAACUUCUCCCUGAAAAACUCCACAUCUUCAUCCCUCUGCACAGAAGAAAAGAAAGAAAGAGAAGGAAAGGAAAGGUCUUGAUGAGUAGUUAGCAGAAUAAAAAGAAAGUACCAAAGCAGAGACAAUGGACAAAAAGAAUGAUGACAGUAAUAAAAUAGCAUAUUUACCAAUUCGUUAAAUAAAGGUUCUGGAGUCCCCAUCUUGUGACCAGCAGGCAGAAGCUCCCAAGGUUUUCUUGCCCUCUCAAGAUCUCCAUUUUCAUCACAAAGAGAAAGCCGUGUUUCAGGAGGCAAAUUGAGCUGCUUUAAUACCUUCAUGUCAUAAAAAACAAACCUGUUAAAGGUAAGCACCCUGUGAUAAUCAUUAGGUAAAUAUUUUGUAGCAAUGUAUACAGUGCAGAGCCUGAUGUUACCUCAAGUGAAAACGAUGGCAUGAAAGGUUCUAACAAACAUGAGAGAAGAUAAACCAGCCCCACUGAAGUUCUCAUAACAAUAGAACAGGAAGCUCGAUCUUCCUUGUAAAGUUUCCAGAAUUGGCUUUCCUAUGGAAAAUUCAGUAUUCAAAUAAUCAUCUUAAUCAAGGAACUUUUUCUUUCUGAUAAGCAUGAAAUAUGACAAACAUAACUGAAACAGUCAAUAAAACCACAUAAAGGGUUUUGCAAGCUUACUUGCAGAUACCCAUUCCCCUCACUGGAGAUGCUCAUUCCAAUUUUCAGUCCUUGCUUUAGUUUAACCUAAUUCACAUAAAAACACCGAAGAGUUCUAUUUUAUAAAUGAAUGCAGAACAUAUUGAGUUUUAGUUGGACAAGUGCUGGGAUUGUAAUUUGACAACUCCAUUAACUUAGAAAUGUUACAUCACCUUCUCCAUAGCUUCUAUAUAUUGCUCUAAGUAUGCGCCAACUUUUUCUGCUAAUGCCUUGGUCAAAUAAUGUGAUUCUGCACCUGGAGCAUCAGGAAUGCUAGACCCAUAUCCUAAUCCUGAACAAAGAAUCAUAACCAAAGCUUUAGGGAAAUAUGAGUUGAGUGAUGACAGGUUCAUGAAAAUUUAGGCCACAUGAAGCUUCUACAGAUGCUACCACCAAAAAGAAUAAAACACAGGAUGAAUACAGUGAACACAAAAAAUUCCUAAAUUAGAUCCUUUGAACAUAUAGAAAAAUCUGUUGUGAUACUAGACAGAUAACUUUUCACAUAAAGAAAUGCAGAGGAUGGUAAACUCCAAGAGAUGAGUUUGCCACUUCUUUCAACAGAUUGUUUCAGUUGAAUCACCCACUUCAAUAUGGUUGUAUAGAAGACCUCAAGCUGUGAACCUGCUUUUGGAUUCAAAAUGCAAUGCCAAAGUUAUGAGUGAGAUUCAUUUUUACAACACAACAAGCAGGAGUCCAAAUUAUGCUGUUGCUGAGGUUCUUUCUGAAUGACCAGAUGCUGGUUCCAAGGUUGAUCUUCAGAACACACUCUCUUCUUUGUGGAGGGUUAUUCUGUAUUCAACAUUUGGGAGACAAGUGAAUCCUUCUUGAUGACUUCAUAACAUUCUGAAAGGGUUUCAAAUUUCAAGAAGAGGGUUGUGGUUCCAAGCUUUGUAGUUGAACGAAUAAAGGAAAAUCUCUUACCAGAUGAGACCGAAUGUUAUUUGAAAGUGAGGGUUAUCUUGGAAAGGAAGUUGGUGAGAGAUCUAUAAAAAUUUGGGAAAAGGUUUAGAAAGAAUGCAAGAAGGAGAUGGAACAAGAGAAGAAUAGAAGAGAGAAACAACGAAGUAGGCUACCACAGGGAUUUCUAAGAAGUAUCACGAAAACAAAUACAAUUUUUACUGGUUUUCAAUUUCUCCUUCCUUUUGGUAUGAUGUUCCUUACACCGAGAAACUCGAAGGGAAAGAGAAGAAUUUGAAACAAAUUAACACAGUAACAGAAUGGGACUCAAAUUUCUCAAAAACAGAACAUUUCUAGCUGUUCCUAAUUGUCAGGUUUGCAACCUGAGAAAACGUUUCAAUUAAACCUCAAAAAGUCGAAAUUUAAGAGAUAAAGCACCAGGCUCCACAAAGUCUUAUCCCUACCUAGUGCAUGCAUCAAAUUCUUUUGUCCAAAGAGGGACUUGACAAUGUAUCUGUAGGUGUGGUAGAUGAGACAUAGUCAUGGAAUUCUUUAGUCCAAACAGGGACUUGGCUAUGUAUCUCUAGAUGUAAUAGAUGAACCUUAGUCAUCUGCCUAUUCUAAGGUCCAUCAAAUUUGCUUGACGACAUUUGGAAAUGUUGAGAAGAAGGAUAUAGACAGAUUGGUUGCAGCGGGGCAAAAGAUUGUUAAUCAAGUAGCUAUUUUCCUCACCGAAAGGGGAAAAUGCUUUGCAGUUAUGUUUGCCCAUGAUUUGGUACCCUUGGCUGCCAUUUUUCACUUUCUGUUUUUUUGGGGGGUGGGUGAGGGAUGAUUCUAUUUUUUGACUCUAGAAAGGACCCCUCUCCUGCUCUUUAUAUUAGGUAUUUUCAUUAAUCACACGUCUUGUGAAUCCUAAAAGUGUAUUAUGUUUGUCCAUGAUUUGGCACAGUUUGUUGUUAGCUUUCAUUUUCUUUCUUCUUUUGAGUACUUUUGGUGAAGGGAUUAUUCUGUCUUGAGUGUAGAAAGGGCUCUCCUUCUAUUCUUCAUAUUAGGUACUUUUCAUGAAUAAAAUGUUCCCAUUUCAAAUAAAAUAAGGACAAAGAAACAGAAUCUAGACCAGGAACUCUAAAUUUUCAUUUCUGCAAGUAUCUGACUAACCUGGAGCUUUGGCGAUGAAGCUCAAUACUCGAUUGAUGAAAUUGCCCAGAUUAUUCAGCAACUCAGUAUUUAGCUUUGCUUGCAAGUCUACCCAUGUAAAUAAUGAGUCUGACACCUAACAAAGAUAAAUCAGUUAAAGAUUCUGAGAGGACAGUCACACAUCCAUAGCCAACAUUAGAUGCUCAACAAAGAACUCACUUCUGGCCUGUUAGUUAGCAAGUAAUAUCGCCACACUUCUGCAGGAAUUUUUGUGUCUUUCACAUCAUUGCCAAAAACUCCUACUCCUUUGCUCUUGGAGAACUUUCCUGCAGCAUCAUACAAAGGAAAGACAAAUCAGAAAAGCCAAAGGAACAUGCUAUCAUGACACGGAGAAUUUCUGACAGGGAUCAAAAUUGAGGAAAGACUGUUGGGCAAUUUUAUAUAGAUGAGAACCAUUUCAGACUGCUAACGAGUACCUGCUUCAUAGUUUAAGUAUUCUGUAACACUAAUGCUCUUCAUCAAUGUCCAGUUUUCUCCAGUUCCAAUAAGUGUAGAUGGGAACAUCACCUGGAAUUAAAAAAUCAAGCAAAGGAUCAUGUGUAGGAACUAAAUCCAACUCCAGUUGUGAUAAAAAGAAAUAAUGAACUGUUUAUUCAGGCAUAGGAGAUGAAGUCUUACAGUGUGGAAUGGCACAUUAUCCUUGCCCAUAAACUGGUACAGAUCCACAUUUUCAGGGUUCUUCCACCACUUUUCCCACUCAGGUGUAUAGCAUGCAGUGAUUGAGACAUAACCAAUUGGUGCAUCAAACCAGACAUAGAAAACCUAUGUAUCAUGUGAUCAGAGUAGUAUAAAUUGUUUUGAACAUUGUUUGCAAAAACCAUAUAGAACAAGAAAUUUCUCUACAGAAAAAGAAGGGGUCAAUUCUACAAAUUAAAUCAAAUGAAAUUAAAUCUUGUCCAACCUUGUCCUUAUAUUUUUCAUGUGGAACAGGAACCCCCCACUUGAGAUCCCUGGUAAUACAGCGGGAUCUAAGUCCUUCUUUAAGCCAUGCAUAUGUAGCUUGGAUAGCAUUUUGGCUCCAGCAUCCUGCAAUGGACAUGUUAUUGAUAUAUUCUUCCAAUUUAUCCUUUAGCAAUGGGAGCUCGAGAAACAAGUGGUCUGUAUCACGGAUUUGUGGACUGGACUGGCAUACCUGUUGAUCAUACAAUCUUUCAAGUGAGGCAGAAAAUUUGAAAAACAACUGGAUGUUUUUUAACCCAGUAGGCAAAUGAAAAUUUUCAAUGAAAUGAAAAAGAUAGUCACACCUUGCAUCUAGGAUCUUUCAGUUCAGUUGGAUUCAAUAGCUUUCCACACUUUUCGCACUGAUCCCCACGAGCAGAGUCAUAAUUACAAUCUAGUGUUGGGCAGGUGCCUUCCACAAGCCGAUCAGCUAAGAAACGUUGACAUGUCUCGCAAUAAAGCUGCAUUAGUAUUGAACCUCAAAUUAAUGAACAGAUGGUGCAGAAUUUACGAAUGAGAAUGCCUUCUUCAUAAACAAAUUUGAUGAUGAAAGUGACAAUUAAUGGAAACCAUAAUAACAUGUAAUUAAGCACAAUGUAACUGUUUUACCUGUUGCAUUCUGUUCUCGGAAAGCCAAUUGUUUUCCAUCAGUUUCUUAAAAAUUGCUUGGCAAACUUCAGUGUGUUGGGGAGUUGAUGUACGCCCAAACUCAUCAAAACUGAUGCCGAACCAAUCGUAAACUUCUUUGUGAAUUUUGUGGUAUCUACAACAGCAGAAAGCAUGAGUUGAAAGGUGAGAAGAGAUGCAAUUCAACCCCAGAUUCCUAAGUUCACUGACCAAGGACAUAUAUACAUAUUUGGAUGAGGAAAGGAAAAUGCCUUUAUCAGCUAUUAACUAAAGUAAGUCAUAAGCAGAAUCUAGUGCCUGACAUGCCUCAAGAUGUGAAAGAUAUUAAACGACUAACAUCUUGCAAAACUCAAGAUGGAACUUUCUUCAAAGAGUGUCCACUACCACAAGGUUGGCCAUCAAUAGAAUAUGCCACAUGAGCAACAGAAAGAAAAUCUUUCACAACUAAAUUAUAGAGAAUCAAAGAAAACAGAUGUGGUGAGCAGUUUACUUGUCACAAAUUUGUUGAGGGGAGCAAUUCUCCUCCAUGGCCUUUGUCUCUGUUGCUGUCCCAUACUCGUCAGUCCCACAUAUGUACAACACAUUGUAGCCGCGAAGGCGGCAGUAACGAGCGAAUACAUCAGCACUUAAAACACCUGGAAAAGGGCCAAGGAAAUAUAGUUAAAAAAAAGGGAAUUUUGAGAAUCCACAAAAGUCUCUCCAGUGAUUAGGUGGAUAACAAGCCAAGAAAAUGGUUAAAAAGGUGCAAGCAAACACAUGAAUGCUAGAUUCCUAAGGUACUAACACAAAAGAGAAUGGCAAAAGCAUGCACAUUUUUCUCUUUUUUCAUAACCUUAUGCUCUGAACAGCUGACAUGAUUUUCGAUAAAAUUAGAAACGAACUCAAAAUUAAGGAACAAGUUUAACUUGAUAUUUUUCACAAUUCAGCUCCAUCGAGGUAAGCCAUUAUUAUUUUCUAACCAUCUUGAGACAGCUCCCUUAUGGUCUUCCUCUAUUCAUUGUGUCGCCUUGUACUUGAAUUAAUUCAUAUCUUACUUAUCAGCGUGUUUUGUCAGACAUGUAUAAACCACCUUAGUUGACUUCCUCCUAUGGACCCCCACUCUUCAGACCUUGACCUGAUCUCCUGAAUAUAUGCAUUCAGUACUUAUUCUACUUUGUGCUGCCGCCUUCAUCCUACAUCCUCUUGUACUAAAAAGAAAAAGUUUUCCAAGUAGCCAAGCACGCAUCAUGACUUGCAAAGAGUAAUUAAGGAAUACCAAAGCAAUUGACUGGAUUGAAUUAUAAGACAAGAAGGAGAGAAG